UUUUUUUUUUUUUUUUUUUUUGUGAUUUGAGACACUUUGAUGAUUUUACCGUCCAAAGCGUGUAGAAUAAAAAUUAAUUCCCCGUCUUACCAUGAUGCAACCAUUGAGUAGGUAAAAUUAGAGCUGGCAAUUAUAUCCAAAACCCAACAAUCCAUCCAACUCCCUCACUAAUUUGAGAGGUUGGAUUGGAUAAGUUGGGUUUUGGGUUAAUUUUGGGUUGGGUAAUAAAGACUCAUAUAUAUUUUGGGUGGUUUGGGUAUUUGUGUUAGGCACCCAUUACCUAAUUUAAGUUAAAAAAAUAAACUAACAAAUUAAAAUCAAGAAGCAAAAAAAAAAUGACCAGCUUUGUUGGAUCAAGCAAAACAUCCGCUAGCCAAGUUGUCCAAAAUCUGCCAAAUUAGCUAUUCCGGACACUCACAGAACUCCAAAAGCUGUUACAGUCCAAAUUCAUUACAUGGUCGCUGGGGCUUCAUUUGGCUAAUUUGUCCGGAAUAGCUAAUAGUUCAUGAAUUUGGCAGAUUUCUUAGAAAUAUGUCCGAAAUAGCUAAUGCUAAAUCAAGUAACAAGACUUAGAAAAUUGUAUAUUGGUAUGCCAUUUUUCAUGCUAUAUUCAACUUGAACCAAAAUUGUUGCUUCGGUCUCUUAGUUUGGACCAAAGCUAUACCCAAUUUAAAAAUCCUUACUUGUAUAAAAAAUAGUGAGUUCAUCCAAGUAAUUUACAUAGCUAGUAUGUGUGUGUAUUUGUGAAAGUAUAUUAGUGUGUAUUGUAAUGUGUUUGCAUGUGUAAAAAUAACGUAUUUCAAAAGAGUUUAAAAAGUGAGUGUGUGUGUGUGUCUAUGAGUGUUUUAGUGUGUAAAAAUAUGUCUAUCUAUGUGAAAAUGUGUUUAUGUGUGUGAAUUUUUUUUUUGUAUGUAAAAAUAUAUUUGAGAGAGUUAUGUAUCAAAUUCUAUUAAUUAAUAUAUUGGGUCAUAGGUUUCCCAAUUGGGCUAUCAUAUGCUUCCAAGAAUCAUGAGCUCAAACAUAAAUUGUUAAUCAAUUCUAUCAAAAUGAUGGAGUUUGAACCUCAAAUAGAAAAAAAAAAAAAAAAAAAAGAUAACAAAGUUCCUUGACGGCAAAUUGACACGUGUUUGAAAAGAAAUAGCACAAAACCAUCAUUAAAUUCAGCGAAACGAAAUUACACAAAAUAGGCCAACAGCAAAAUAUCUGAAUAAUCUCAUUGAUUGUUUCCACCAUAUCUUGACAAGAAAAGAGCCAUCGAUCCUUUCCAACAUUUACCUCCAUCUUCCACAAAAAUAUUAAAGAAAGCCAGACCGCACAGAUGAUCAAUUACAAUCUAAAGAGGAAAAACCACCGUAGCAUGUACUCCCUAAUGAUAUCAUUAAGAAAAAAAAAAUAGAGCAAUAAUUAGUUGUUUGCUCAUCAAUUUCAAUGUGCUUGUGCAUGCAUUACAGGCAACUGAAGUACAAAAAAGCUACCAAAUGGUAAAUAUAAAUUAAAUUUGUUUAAAAAUGAAAAGCAUGAUUAUUUCUACAAGCCAAUUAACGGUAAUGACAAAAAAGGAAAUUACCAGAUAUUGCACCAGCUGAUGCCCUUCAAUCUAUGAUGAUCUCCAGAUUCACAUUUCCAUAAUUUUUCUGUGCUUCUUCAAUUUCCCGUACUAAAGAUUUGACACGAUCUCCGCAAUGGUCGAUCUCAAUCGUUUCAAGAGUUGAUAUACGCCCUAAACAAGAAGGCAUCAUUUUCAAAAUACGAGUACUGUCGAGAUUUAAUUGCUGAAGACACAGGAAGUAAUCAUCACUGUCAGGGUCCGUCUCUGUCCACUCCACAACCUUAAAAUAUGUCAAAGUCAAGACCCUGAGUUUAGGGAAUCCUCCUUCCAUCAGCUCCCAUCUUUGGCCCUCCAUUGACUGCAGUCUUAAUUCGAGGACUUCAAGGUUGGGUAGUUCUUCAAUCAAUGACAUUUUACUACAGGGAAGACCCAGAUUUUCAAGACUCAACUUCUUCAAAUUCAUGGGAAAGGGAACCUCAACAUGUUCCCAUGAACCUGAGGAGUAAUUGCCCCACCAGGUGAGUGAUUCUAGGCAUUCUAGAUGACUCAUGUUCAACACUCCAUUUCCAGUGUGAUAAUCGGAAAUUUUAAGUUGGCGAAUGUUAGGAAUCCUUCUCAAUAAGUUCUCUCCCUCUUUAAAAAGACACAAGCAAGAGAGUGUGUCUAAAUUGGGUAAAGUGGAGAGGUUUUCAACACCGUUGUCGUUGGAAGGCAGAUGAAUAGCAACGCGCCCUCUUACAUGUAUAUGCCUCAACUUCUUCAUGUUCCAGAUGCUAUCUGGCAAUGAAACGACCAAGUUGGAAUGUAGCCAAAAGGUUUCCAAAUGUGAGAGCUUGGCUAUAGAUGGUGGAAUGAAUUGCAUGUCCUCUGCUUCAAGGGCUAAGUACCUCAAACAAAGAAGUGACUCGACUUCAGCUGGAAGCUCCUUCAGCCUUAGGUUAAUGCCCUCUAAAUUCAGAACGUUAAGAUGUUUGUAGAUGCAAAAAAGGAAGGAGAUAUUAAACAACUUAUCAUAUCUUGGAGUAGCAUCAAAGAGUAGCAGACUGGCUAAAUGCGGACAAAAUAGCCUUGACUUUAUAAAAUCUUCUACACUGGAGCAAAUGGACAACCGAGGUAGGUUGGGAGGCUCAUUAAAGGUAGAAAGCUCAUCAUAUCCUCCCAGGACCUGAAGGAAUUUCUUUUCUUUCGCCUUGCCCUUACAGAACUCAAAUAUCAAAUCGUGAAUGUAACAAGUUUUGACUCCACCAAUGGACCUGUUCUUACCUACCAUAACUAGGUUUCGGCCAAUUAGGUCCAUCAGAUAUUCUUCUGCAAUAUCCUCUGAUUUCUCUCCUUCAAUUAUUUCCACAAAUCCUUCUGCAAUCCAUAGACACGUCAACUUCUUGGCACCAAUUUUUUCAUCUUCUGGAAAUGCAGCAAAAUACAGCAAGCAUGCCUUCAAGUGAUAUGGUAAAUGCUCAUAACUGAGCUCCAAUGACUUCUUCCACUGGUCUGUACCAGACACCAUGGUUGAAGUUAAACUUUCAGCAAACUUUUCCCAAAGCAAAAUAUCAUGCUUUAUUGUUGCUAGAAUUCCAGCUACAACAACAACUGCAAAGGGUAAUCCCCAGCACUUUUUGACAAUCUCCAUUCCCAAUUCAUGCAACGCUUGAGGACAUUCCUCUUCUUCUCCAAACACCUUCUUCUGCAGCAAUUCGAAACUCUCUUCGACAGUAAGGCAGCGAAUCUUGUGAGGUUCUCUACCAUAUUGAACCUGUGAAGCUACAUUAGAAGAUCGACUCGUGAAGAUGAUUCUACUUUGGUUUUUGUCAUCUGGGAAUGAAAUUCUCAGCUCAUUCCAUACCUUAAUGUCCCAGACAUCAUCAAAAACAACAAGAUACCGAUUCUUCAAUAGCCUUUGAUAGAGCUUUUCAAGCAACGCAUGUUUAUCCAGAUUUUGAAACUCAUCCUUCCUAGAAUGUUUGCCAUCAGAGCACAAAAUUUGAAGUAACACAUUUUUCAUGUUAAAUUCUUGAGAAACAGUACACCAAAGACGAAUGUGGAAGUGACAGGUUACUGAACUAUCAUUGUAAACUUUUUUGGCUAAAGUUGUCUUACCAAGCCCAGCCAUUCCCACAAUGGGAACAAUUUCCACCUGUUUUGAUCCCCAUCUAAGUCGUCCAAUUACUUUUGCUGCCUCAUCAUCAAGACCAACCAUGAUUUCACGAGCUAUUGGCAUUUUACCUUUUGAUAGCAUGCGGCUGGAAGUCUGGCUAACUUCUGGUGCUCUUAAGCUAUGAGAGGAAUUAGGAAGACUCUGUAUAGUACUUGAGAUAAGUGGUUCAAUUACUUUUUCUGCCUCAUCAUCAAGACCAACCAUGACUUCAUGGUCUAUUGGCAUUUUACCUUUUGAUAGCAUGCGGCUGGAAGUCCGGCUAACUUCUGGUGCUCUUAAGCUAUGAGAGGAAUUAGGAAGACUCUCUAUAGUACUUGAGCCACUGAUCUGAUCCUUAAAAUUCUUGAUAUGGAUGUUGGUACUAGCCAGCAUAUCACAAAAAUCAAGAACCUGGGUGGAUCCUGAGAAGCUAACUUCUCCUUCUAUCACUCUGCUCAGAGUGGGCGUGAAUAUUAUAAUGCCUGCCUCACCAAGGAGAGCUCCAAUUUUUUCAUUUUGUUCAUCCAUCAUCUCAUGAUGCUCCCUUAAAAUGCUUCUCAAAAACCUCAGGCCUGCAUAGAGUAUUCGCAUUUGAUUUUUCAUAGAAUCUACAAAGCUAGAGCUGCAGCAUAACAACUCCCAGAGACGACUUAUCAGAGAAUCAUUGAAGUUGUUCAAUAUCCGCUCAUCCAUCACUGCUGUAUGUAAUGAUGCUGAGGAGUUUGAAGCUGCAAGUACUUCCUUAUAAAUCUCGUAGACAUGAAAAUCAACCGCUCUGAUGCUGAGGAGUUUGAAGCUGCAAGUACUUCUGUACUCAACAUUUUUCCAAAAGGACCACAUGUAAGAGAGGCGUGCUGCGGUCAAAGCCACCACUUCAAAGUGAGAUAAUAGCAAGGCAGGAAUAUCUGCGGUUCCUCGCAUUUUGGCAAAGGGAAUAAAGCUUUUCAAGAAUGUCAGCUUUGCUUCAAGAUCUUGGACUUGAGCAGUCAAAGGAGCACUCAAAGGAUCAUAUUUAUGAAUUCGCCAAUUCAUAUAGUCAUUGGUCAAAUCUGCUAGAUUUUGCAGGAUGAGGUCUAUGAAUUCCAACAGUUCAUCAUCUGUCAUACAAGAAUUUGAUUGAAAUGACCUGCUGCUUGCCAAAGCAAGGUAAAUUUGGAUGAUUUCUUGCUUGAGUGAUGUGAUCUUUUUCUCAAUUUCGCGGAACACUCCACGAGCAAAAAUAGAAUUGUUAAAGUCAAGCCACAGCAGCAAUUCUUGACUUCUUGCUGCAGCCGCAAUUCUUGAUUCUUGACUGUGGCAGAAUUUUGUAAUCCCACAUCGCCAGAAGCUGAGGGAAUAGCCUCCAUUGUUUCCUAUAAAUAGAGAAGGCCUUUGAGAAGUUUAAGUGCACCACUCAAGAGAGUUAUAUGGGCUAUUAGCUUCUUGAGUCAUCUAGCCCAUUUAGUCAAAUAUUUUAGGCUCUCUUGUAUUGUGUUUAGGAAUAUUUCCUAAAUCUUUUAUAAGUGCCUUUUGGCCUAGGAACCACUUUCCUACGGCUUUUGUAUUUCUUCUUCAUAGUUGAAAUAUUGCUCCUCCCUCGCCCGUGGACGUAGGUCAAUUUGACCGAACCACGUAAAUCUUCUGUAUCUUUUAUUUGCUUUGUUAUCCGUCUUUAUAUGGUCGGUUUUACCGCCUAAUUAUUAUAUGGCCGGUAUCUACCGCCUAUCUAUUAUAUGGUCGGUUAUACCGCCUACUUUGUGCUAACUUGAGUUUGUCUAUUUCCUGGCCCGGUCCUUAACAAACUGGUAUCAGAGCUGGUUAUAUUUUGCAAGACAGUUUUAUCUGGUGGGUCCCGUUCAUCUGGUGGGGUCCGUCCAUCCUGUGGGGCCCACUCAUUCUGUGGGGUCCGUUUAUCCGUGGGGCCCACUCACCUUGUGGGGUCCGAUCAUCCCCGUGGGGCCCGCUUAUCUCGUGGGGCCCGCUCACCCUGUGGCCCGCUCACGAGACUUGCAUAUUUGUUUGGCCAGUUUUUUGAGACAAACUUCAAGUUACAGAAUUUGUGGCAACAAUGACGAUAACAAAGACGGUUGUCGAGAAAUUCGACAGGAAUGUCAACUUCGGAAUGUGGCAGCUCAAGAUGGAAGCCAUUCUUGUUCAAGACGGAGUUGAUCUAGCGAUUCACGGAAUCGAGAACAAACCAGAAGAAGUCAAGGAUGCGGAUUUCGCCGAUAUGGAUAAGAAGGCCAGAUCCAGCAUAAUCUUAAAUCUCUCCGAUGAGGUAUUGCGUGAGGUAGCAACGGAGACUUCGGCCAAGGCUAUGUGGGAUAAAUUGAAAGCCUUGUAUAUGAAGAAGACAGUCGAGAAUCGACUAUAUCUGAAGCAGAGUUUGUACAUGCUUCGGAUGUCUGAAGGUACAUCUAUACUCUCCCAUCUUGAUAAAUUUGAUUCCAUUAUUAUGGAUUUGGGGAAUAUAGAUUCGAAAAUUGAUGAUGAAGAUCAAGCCCUAUUACUUUUGUGUUCCCUUCCCCAGUCUUUUAAGCAUUUCCGCGAUACUAUGAUUUAUGGAAAGGAAACAAUUUCGUAUCGGGAAAUUAAAUCUGCAUUAAAAUCUAAAGAGCAGAUAGAUAGGGACAUUACUGGGGAAACUAGUGGGAGUCAAGCCGAUGGCUUGUUUGUUCGGGGUAGAUCUGAAAAGAGAAACACAGAAAAUAGAAGUAGAUCCAAAUCCAGACAUAAAAAUGUGGUGUGCAAUUAUUGUAAAAAGAAGGGCCAUGUUAUCUCUGAUUGCUUUAAAUUGAAAAAUAAAGAAAAGCAAAAAGGGAAAUUUGUUGAGAAAAAUACUGAAUCCGCUGAGGCUAGUAUAGCAGCUGAUGAGAAUGAUGGAACUAUUUUCUGUGCAACGGAAAAUAAUUUUAGGUCUAACAAUGAGUGGAUUUUAGAUUCGGGUUGUUCAUAUCAUAUGUGUCCCAAUAGGGACUGGUUUUCAACAUAUGAAUCAGCUGAAGGUGGAGUUGUCUUAAUGGGCAACAACGCUGUUUGUAAAGUUGUUGGCAAAGGCACAAUCCGGAUUAAAAUGUACGAUGGUAUUGUGAGGACGCUCACAGAUGUUAGACAUGUUCCAGAUUUGAAGAAAAAUCUCAUCUCUUUGGGCACUCUUGAGUCUAUCGGGUGCAGGUAUUCAGGUGGAGACGGAGUUCUCAAAAUUACUCGAGGAGCUCUUGUUGUUAUGAAGGCACACAGAUCUGGUACUUUGUAUAUUUUGCAGGGAUCUACUGUUACAGGUGCUGCUGCUGUUUCAACAUCAUCUUUGUCAGAUACAGACAUCACCAAAUUAUGGCAUAUGCGUUUGGGGCACAUGAGCGAAAAAGGCUUAGGCAUACUAAGCAAAAGAGGGACUUCUUGUGGUCAAAGUACCGGGCCAUUGGAAUUCUGUGAACAUUGUAUUUUUGGGAAGCAGAAAAGAGUCAGCUUCAGUUCACCAGCAAUUCACAAGACAAAAGGUACUCUUGAUUACAUUCAUUCAGAUCUAUGGGGUCCUUCUCGUGCUCCUUCUAAAGGUGGUGCCAGGUACAUGUUGACUUUCAUUGAUGAUUAUUCAAGGAAAGUUUGGGUAUAUUUUCUUAAGCAUAAAAAUGAUGUUUUCCUAACUUUCAAGCAAUGGAAAGUUUUGAUUGAGAAGCAAACAGGAAAACACAUUAAGCGGUUGAGAACAGAUAAUGGCAUGGAAUUUUGUGGAGGUGAAUUUAAUGAAUUCUGCAAGAAUGAAGGAAUUGUUCGGCAUCACACCGUCAGGAUGACGCCUCAACAAAAUGGUGUGGCCGAACGUAUGAACAGAACGCUUUUGGAGAGAGCAAGAUGUAUGAUCUCCAAUGCAGGGUUGACAAACGACUUUUGGGCAGAGGCGAUCAAUAUGGCCUGUUAUAUUGUCAACCGUUCUCCUUCUGCAUCUCUUGAUUUCAAAACUCCUGAGGAAGUUUGGUCAGGUACUCCUGCUGAUUACUCCAAUUUAAAAGUUUUUGGGUGUCCAGCAUACAUGCACGUGAAUGAUGGAAAAUUGGAGCCUAGGGCUAAAAAGUGCAUUUUUCUUGGGUAUGCUUCUGGGGUGAAAGGAUACAGAUUAUGGUAUCCUGAUCCCAAAUCCCCAAAAUUUGUAAUCAGUAGAGAUGUUACUUUUGAUGAAUUAUCUAUGUUAUCUUCCAAGAAGGAGUCUUCUAGUCCUUGUACUACUGAUAGUACACAGAAGCAGGUGGAGCUUGAUAUUGGCAGUUCUGGUCCUUCUCAGACCAAAUCUUCUAUUCAAAUGCCAGUAGAUACACCUGAAUCUACUGUUGAAGAUAGUUCUGAAGAAGAAGAGUAUUCCAUAGCCAGAGAUAGAGCAAGGAGAGACAUUCGACCACCACAAAGAUAUGCAAAUUUAGUUGCAUAUGCUUUAUCUGUUGCAGAAGAAACUGAUGCAAUUGGUGAGCCUUCCACCUAUUCAGAAGCAGUUUCUUGUGAUGAUUCUGCAAAGUGGUUGAUUGCGAUGAAUGAAGAAAUUGAAUCUCUUCAUCGUAAUGAAACUUGGGUUCUUGUAAAGCCGCCGUCAGCUAAGAAAAUUGUUGGAUGCAAAUGGGUCUUCAAGAAGAAGGAAGGUAUUCCAGGGGUUGAAGAUGCAAGGUAUAAAGCACGAUUGGUUGCAAAGGGCUAUAGUCAGGUACAAGGUGUUGAUUUUAAUGAUGUGUUUUCACCUGUUGUUAAACAUAGCUCUAUUCGUGUUUUGCUUGCUUUAGUUGCCAUGUAUAAUUUGGAGUUAGAACAGCUCGACGUUAAGACAGCUUUCUUACAUGGCGAACUUGAAGAACAAAUUUAUAUGAGACAACCCCAGGGUUUUGAAAUUGAAGGUAAAGAAGACCAUGUUUGCUUAUUGAAGAAAUCCUUAUAUGGAUUGAAGCAGUCUCCAAGACAAUGGUAUAAGAGGUUUGAUUCCUUUAUGUUGGGUCAUGGUUAUUCAAGGAGCAUGUAUGAUAGUUGUGUUUACUUCCGGAAGUUAAAUGAUGGUUCUUUCAUUUACUUAUUGUUAUAUGUUGAUGACAUGCUCAUUGCUGCCAAGAAUUUGUCAGAAAUUCACACCUUGAAACUGCAGUUAAAUAGUGAAUUUGAAAUGAAAGAUUUGGGAGCAGCUAAGAAAAUUCUUGGCAUGGAUAUCAAUCGAGAUCGAGGAGUAGGAAAGUUAUUUUUGACCCAGAAAAAUUACCUUGAGAAAGUCUUGGAGCGUUUUGGCAUGAAAGAUGCUAAACCAGUAUCUACUCCUCUUGCUAGCCAUUUUCGGCUAUCUGCUGCUCAAUCACCAAAAUCAGAUGAAGAGGAAGAUUAUAUGGCACGGGUUCCUUAUUCCAGUGCAGUCGGCAGUAUUAUGUAUGCAAUGGUUUGUACUCGUCCAGAUAUUGCACAAGCAGUCAGUGUUGUUAGCAGAUAUAUGUCUUGCCCUGGUAAAACACAUUGGCAGGCUGUGAAGUGGAUUCUCAGAUACUUGCGAGGUACUUCAAAUGUAUGUUUGGAGUUUGGAAGAAAUAAUAACACUUUGGUUGGUUUUGUAGACUCAGACUACGCUGGGGAUCUUGACAGGAGAAGAUCACUUUCAGGCUAUGUAUUUUGCAUUGGCAGUUGUGCUGUUAGUUGGAAAGCUACUCUACAACCUGUCGUAGCUUUGUCUACUAUUGAAGCAGAAUAUAUGGCUGUGACCGAGGCAAUCAAAGAAGCCUUGUGGUUGAAGAGUUUAUUUAGCGAGUUAAGUCUAUAUCAAGGUGUUACUGAUAUUCACUGUGAUAGUCAAAGUGCCAUACACUUGACUAAAGAUCAGAUGUAUCACGAGAGAACGAAGCAUAUUGAUGUGAAGUAUCACUUCAUUCGGGAUAUCAUUGAUGAGGGAAAAGUCCUUAUUCAGAAAAUCAAUACUAAGGACAAUCCAGCCGAUAUGUUUACGAAGCCUCUUCCAAAUUACAAGUUCAAGCAGUGCUUGGACUUGGUUGGUGUUCGUUAUUUGUGAUUUAGACCCAUUGGGUCUUAUGUGGAGAAGGUGGAGCGAUUUUACUAUUGACGAUGGUGGGACUCAAAAUUAUGCCAAGGUGGAGAUUUGUUGAGCCGCAAUUCUUCAGCCGCAAUCCUUGACUGUGGCAGAAUUUCCUCAUCCCACAUCGCCUGAAGCAGAAGGAAAGCCUCCCAAAUACAACUAUAAAUAGGGGGCUCAUAUGAAGGUUUCAAUCGCACCACUCAAGAGAGUUAUAUGGGCUAUUAGCUUCUUGAGUCAUCUAGCCCAUUCAGUCAAAUAUUUUAGGCUCUCUUGUUUUGAGUUUAGGAAUAUUUUCUAAACUAUUUUGUAAGUGCCUAUUGGCCUAGGAACCACUUUCCUAUGGCUUUUGUAUUUCUUCUUCAUAAUAGAAAUAUUGUUCCUCCCUCGCCCGUGGACGUAGGUCAAUUUGACCGAACCACGUAAAUCUUCUGUGUCUUUUAUUUGCUUUGUUAUCCGUCUUUAUAUGGUCGGUUUUACCGCCUAAUUAUUAUAUGGCCGGUAUCUACCGCCUAUCUAUUAUAUGGUCGGUUAUACCGCCUACUUUGUGCUAACUUGAGUUUGUCUAUUUCCUGGCCCGGUCCUUAACAAGAAUUGUGAAUAACCCAUUCAUAUUUUUCCAUUUCUAAUCUAAGGCAAAGAGACAGAAUGUCCUCCUCGGAUUUGUGAAAGGUAUCUUCGAUACAAGAUAAGAAAGAUGGAAGACUCACCUUCUUCACAACAUUGUCAGAUUGCAAGUACAAAUGAACAAGGCUCCACUUUCUAGCACACAUAAGAAACGUUUUGAGAAAUUUCAUGUGUCUGAUUGCAUCACGAACAUCCAAAAGAAGAUUACCACCAACAUGCGAAAGAGAAAAAUUGUCUCGGAAUCUGUUCAGAAGCAACUCUAGACCAAGUAAGACACGAUCGAUGCUGCAAGUGGUGGCCAUCUCCAUCUCUUUUCGAGGGAUUUUCGUCAGUUUCACUCUCAAAUUUUAAGAGAGAAACAAAUCUCACUAACUGCAGAGCUAGCAAAGCAUUUCUUUCCUGAAAAUGGCUUAUUUGUUUCUGGUGAGAAGGUGAAGAAGAGUAUUGAGACAAUCAACCAUUCAACCAGGUGGAAUUGGCAUCAAGGUGGACCCCAGGCAAUGAUAAUCAAUUAUUCAACUAGGUGGAAUUGGAGGUAGGCACCCAAAAUCCAAAUUCAUCUUGAACUAAUCACAAAUGGAGGAAAUUGAUAAACAAGAUUAGUUGACUCUGUCAUCAACAUUUUAUUAGGGAAAUUUGAUAUUAGGGAUCACAUAAAAGUCUAUGUUUUAAGACAAUAACAGCAGUGGUUAGGGUGAUUUAAGACACUUUGAUGAUAUUAUUGCCUCAAUAAAGUAGUGGGUCCGAUUUCAUAGAAUUAUUCGGAAUGAUUGUAUUCCAUUCUUGCGCGUCCCUGUUUUAAUAUGUUUUUUUUUUGCUUCAAGCAUCCACAGUUUAAUAUGUUAAACUUUAUAAUUAGGAAGAACAGAAAACAAAGAAACAUCAAAAUAUAAAUGAUCCAAGAGACGUCACAAUAUAAAUGAUCAAAAUAUAAUGAACCUUCAAGCUAGCUCUCUAAUUUUCUUCAAUUGUUUUCUUUCUUUAGCAAACCACUAAAUUUGAUCACUUUCUCCUCUAAUUAUCUCGUAUUAAUAAUCAUGACCAUUGAUCUUGGAGAUUAAUAACCAUGACCAACAAAGUAAAAGGUAUGAGAAAAAAUAAUUGAGGGCUUCUUCAACCCUUGAUAUUGUGGAAGUAGAGAAUUUGGGAUUUCUGCAAUUACUAGUGUCAAUUAUAUCAUAAAAUAUAUGCAUUACAAUAAUAAAUGUAAACUCUAAGAUAAUAAAUAUAAACAGUAAAACGAUAACCUGCAAAAUUAAUGUUACCAAUAUACAAUGGUCAAAGAAAAUGAUUGGAUUAAAGAAGUGAAAAUUGCUACUAAUUUGUAGUAGUACUUCUUUUCAAGAGUCAGGACUUAAAUGCACGCUCAUUAUUGUACAAAAUUAUCUACUUAUUUCAUAAACACAUUUUUCAAUCAUUUUUUUUUAUUUCAUAUAUAUCACAUCAAAAAAAUAAUAUAAUACUUUUUAAAAAAAUUAUUCCAAAUAAUCUCAUAUUCAAAAGCAAGUUAUAUGCCCAUUUCAGUGUUACUUGGGCCAUUGGAAAUUAAUUCUAGUCUUCUCAUUAGUCAUUAGUCUUUUUUCCACAUUCUGUAGGGGUGGGCACGGGUCGGGUACCCGCCCCGAACGCUAAUUGGCUGACCCGACCAUAACAUAUCGGGUCACUAUUUUUUUGACCCUAAUCCGCUCCGAACUUCCUCGGAUACCCGAAAAAUAGGGGCGGGUCAUAGGGUACCCGCCCCUAUUUAAAGAAUGCAAUUUUUCUCUAAAACUCAUAAGACAUAAGAUGAACCUGCUGGACGAUAGCAUCAUUCAACAAAAAAAAAGGCAACAACAUCAUUCAAAUUCAAACUAGACAAAGAUGGAUCCAUUGAUGAUGAAUGAUCAACAUUUGGGCUUGCAGCUGUAGUAGCUGUAUUAUCCCCUGUACUUGACAUCUGAAAAAUUCAAAAAACAAAUCAAAUGAAAAUCCCACUUCUCUACCAUAUGCGCAGCUAAUACAUAGCUUAGAAACUCCUAUAAAACCAUGUGCAGAUUCAUUUUAGAAAGAAAAGGGCAGUUGGAAUAAUCUUAAGAACAAUAACAAAAAAUUGCUCACAAUCCUCAGUUGCUUGGCCUGCUAAUUUAAAUAUUGAGUGCAAAGUGUAGCUAAACCCAAAGGGGGAAAAAUGUCCAAUGUAUGAAAAGAAAAAGCAAACCAAUAAUCUCAAAAAAAAAAAAAAAGAGUUUUACACUAUUACAACUUCAGCAGGUAUAGAGGUAUUAUCUUAGAAUUUGCACAUUGAAUUGAAUUAUGUUACACAAAAAAGCUAAAGUAAUUAUGCAGCUACAUUGCACUGGAGGAAAAUAACGAACGAUGUAGAGUUUCCAGUGUUUGUUCAUGUCUUAGUAUCUAUAUGCAAGAAUCAAUAAUAUUCUUGAGAAUUAGAAUCAGUAAAUUUUAUGGUACAUCAUAUCUCUUUAAACCUUAGUUGGAUAACUGUGUAAUUUACAACUUAAAGUUUUUGGUUUAAUCUGAAUUUUUGGUUUGAACUCGUCUUGUAGACAUUAGAGCUGAUUACGGUACAUGGACACACUUGUGAAGCAUUUAAUUGAAUAUUUUUUUUUAAUUAGAAACUCAGGACAAAGUGCAGUAUGUUCUUAUUUUUCAGAACCUUAGGCACAAUUUCUCCCACCGUUCUUGAAUUUCAGAACAUAACCUAAGCCUUACGCAUAUGCGUGCAACAGUCCACCAAAAGUACAGAAAAAGCCAUGUAAAGUAAAACUCUCUGCAAAUGAACAACUAGCCUAUGAGAGUUGGUCUAAGACCUCAAAUGUCAAAGCCAUGAGAGUAUCUCCAUGGAAAAUUAUGGCCAGAAUUUGUUUCCGUACCUGUACCAUUUAUGCCGAUUGCCGACCCCCUUUUUGGUUUUUUUUUUUUCUUUUUUCUGUAUGGGUCCAGCAAUUCCUAAUCUUAAUUGUACAACCCAGUUUCGAUUUGGACGAAAGAUCAGAAUCCAUGUAGCCAAUUCGACAAAUGCAUAGACGUACACAAUACACAUAGAUGCAGAAUAGUUUUGCAGAAAGAAUUGAACUUAAAAGAAAAUAGUUAUUGAAAAACCUUGAUAGCUAAACCACCCGGCUCCGGCGUCGGCGGCGUCAGGCGACCUUUUGGCAGCGUCCCUUUACUCGAAGUCGAAGGUAGAAAAGGACGACAACGGAGAAACAGGGCUGAAGAGAAAGGGAUUCGAUUCAGUUAGGCAGUUUGAGGAGUUUUAACGGUAGUUUUCGGCCCUAGGUUUGAGAGACAAGAGCAUCGGCCAUUGAAGAGUGAAGAGUGAAGAGUGUCGACGGCUGAAGCAGAGGAUGAAAUCUGAAGGUUAGGAACCUAGGGUUAAUAACUUAAAAAAUUAUAAAAUUGUCCCUAUAUUUUUUAAUAUUUAUAUAUUAUACCCCCGGGUCGGGUACCCGCGGGUUUUGGCUUUUACGAUCCGUACCCGUAUCCGAAUGUUCCGGAUACCCGACCCUAUCUGAUCCGCUAAGAGAAAUCGGAUCGGAUAUCCUAUUUUUCGGUGCGGAUCGGGUCGGAUCUCUCGGGUUUUCGGGUCAGCGGGUAUUUUUGCCCAAUUGGAAAAUGAGAGAGAUGGGAAACUGGCUAGGGAACCAUCACUUUCCUUGCUUUUUAAUACAGGGCUUAAGGGUAUAAUACCACAUACCUAUUUUUAAAUGUUUGAUAUCAAUUCUUAGUAUUUAAGUGGAAAACUUCCACGAGUCAACUAAGAAUUAGUGGUAAUAGUCUGAAGAGUUAGAACCGAAAUGCAGGCUAAUACAAGCAUGUACUAGUUACUGGGCUAUUAGAACUCUUAAACAUUUUUAUAGUCUUUCUUCCCCAUUCAGGGGAUCCAUGUGGAGAAUUCGAUAGAUUGGUCAAGACCGGAUAGUGUUCUGGUCAAGCAUGGCUAGUGGACGAUCCCUUUUCUUGUUCUUUAAUUCAAGUUUCGGCCUUCAAUUAAGGGGUAAUAUAGAAAGAAUGGGAUUUAUAAUUAUUUUUUCUUUUUUUUUCUCUUCUUAUUCCUCAUUUUUUGUUCAUAGUUUACAAGUAAAACUGCAUAACUAUAAACUAUAAAUAUUGAUUCUAGUCGCUAUCAUUACCAAAUGUUGAAUUAGUGACCUUUUUUUGGACAACUUUGAAUGUGAUCUAAUUUUUUGUUGAUAUUUUUUUUCUUCGCACCAAAAACAACAGUGAUUUAAAAAGAAACUAUCCAAAACUACUACUAAAUUAUUGAUAUCUCUAACAUUUCAAAAAAUCUACAAACUCUAAAACAAUUAUGAUAAUACUUUCUUCUCCAACCUUCAGGGAAUAUGUACCCCUAGUAAAGCACUAUGUACAGUAGCCUAUCAUAGUGAUGAAACUAUUGUAAUAAUUGUUUAUUAAAUAAUAAAUAUAGGUAUUGAAAAUUUGAUGCUUUUUCUUUAUAGUUAUGCUAUAUAUCUUACAAUUGUUUUGGAAAGCAAUAUAAACUAUAUAAACCAAGGACAUUUUAGGAUGUUCAUUUAAAUUUUUGACCAGGUCUAAGGUUUGAUUACCAAAUCUGUAAAAUCAAGGGAGGUAAGUACAAUUUUUAAAACCUCAAGGGAGCUUAGUGAGAUUAUCUGAAACCUUAGAGGAGGUUUAUGAAAUUAUCCCUGCUUAUAAUCAACUUUGAAGUGCUACAAUCAACAUACUGGGCAACGAGAAUAAACUCCAAACUAUGAAAGUACAUGAUUUGGAAUGAUUAUAACAAAACCAGUAAUAUACUUCACCUAGGUUGCUGAAAAUUAUUGGGCAACACAGGAUCCGUUUAGAGGUGGGCCGAAGUGAGAAAAAGUCCACAACGCACCACAACUUUAAACUGGGGAAGUUUUGGGCUUUUUAUUUGAUGUUCGAAAGGUUUAGUAUUUGGUGUUCGAAAGCCGUACAAUUUAGUUCAUUAAACCCUAGUUUUAACCUUUUUGGGAUCAAAUAUUGUUUGGGGUAUCCACAAUUACCCUUUAUUACACCGAUGCAUUGUAAACUCUCCCUUAGUAAGAUUAUAAUGCCUAUUACACGCAUAACAAUCACUACAUGCAUAAUUGAAGCAAAAAAAGCUGAAAGAGUGGGUCUCAUUUGUCCAAUUAUUCAAAGCUUUGCAAAGGUUUCAUUUUAUCCAAUUAUUCAAAACUUUGCAGUGGUCCCUUGAAUCCAAUUUUCAACAUGUUUGCAAUGGUAAAAUAAUGGUAGCAUUGUUUCAAUUUCACCAGUUUGCAACAGUAAUUCUUUUUUCACUUUCAAUUGUCAAAAUUUUGUCUAUAAAUAUUGUUAACGUUUUCUCAAUUUCUUACUCUCCCACUCCAUCAUUUCUCCUACUGCAUCAUUUGUUUUCUUUAACCUCUUAUCUAAUUUUUUAAAGCAUUGGGUAUUUGUUUAAUAAUUACCUAAUUAUUUUUAGCAAAUAACAAUGCAUUUUUUGAAAUCCAUAAAAAUAUAUACUGUUAGCUUUCAAAACUUAAUAAUAUUAUUUUUUAGAAAAUAAAAAAUUUAUAGAAUACAAAAUUUUCAACAAAAGUUAAUAAUAUUUUUCCAAAAUAAAUGUAAUUAUUUUUCAGAAAAUAGAUCUAUUUAUUUACGAGAUAUGUGUUGAGAACUAUUAAAAUAAAUACAUGAUUUGAUUAUGGGUCCACGCUAUUAUACUAUGUAGAGUGUAAUCUACAGUGAGUGAUAAUAUAAUGAAAGAGGGGAUAAUAAAGUAAUGAUAUAGCAUAUGAAUUGUACUCUUCCAUUGUAAAUGCCCUUAAGACACCUUCAAGACUCUUUCUCGUUUUCAUAUAUUUUUUUCAGAGUUAAGCAUCGAGAUUUAUCUUACCCUACUGCUAUACUGUGGGAAGGAGAGUGCCCAAGUGAGUUGUGUGAAGGAGUUGGUGGUGGAUACUGGAUAGUAUAGUACCGUGCCCUUUAGAUUUAUAAGAGAAUGGAAGCCAAGUUUACUUGUAUACGCACCGAGCGAGACAUGGAGCCUCAACUUGAUGCACGAGGGAGACUUUGAGAAGUCCUCCUUUCUUGUUUGUUACUUUGUAUGCUAGUUUCCUUACAUUUAUAUGUUUUCUUAUUGUUGAGAAAGGGGUUUGCUCCGGGUUCUUAAACGCUGAUAUUUCAGCUGCAUGUUGGCAGAACAUUAUGCUAGUUUUAUUCAACUAAAUUUCGUUCUUAAGUGAGCCGAGAAAAUUUGUUUGUUUUCUUCUUUUUGGUUGGUUCAUGUCAGAUUUAGCCAACAUUUUAAAGUAAUUUUGUUGAUUUGGACUCAUUCAUACUCAUUGUGUAGUUGAGGAGGGCCAUAUUGGGAAAUAUGAAGUUUGAAUUCUUUAAGUGACUCAAUUGUUAAAUACUAAAUUUGAUAUAUUUGAGUAUAUAUAUCAUCACAUUGAAUGAUAAAGUAAAUAACUUAUCACUUAUUUUUUAGAACAAAUUUUACUAAAAAUUCAGUACCAGUUAAUUAAUUCACAUGUUCUAUUUUUUUUUGUUAUCAAACAUAUCUAACACGUUAAGGUCUAAACCCAUUAGCUUUAGGUGUUGAAUUGAGCUAUCAAAUAAGGUCUAUAAGACUUUCAGCUCAUAAAAAUCGAAAGCAAUAUUUGCAUGUUGGCUUGGUUACCGAGGUUUUCUGGUAUCUAAUUACCAAGUUAAGCAGAAAGAACAAAAGGGGAAAAAAAAAAAGAAAUAGAAGAAAAAGCAUCAGUCAUAGGUUUGCAUUUGUGUUUUCUUUGAAAUUUAGAAAGAAAACAAAUUAAUUUAGAGCAACAAAACACUAAAAUCUCUCCUCUGGUUCUCCGUUGGGCAAUACUCUUAGCAUUCAUGUUUAGUUUUUUUUUUUGUAUCGCAACAAUAACAUUUGUAGCAUUCAUGUUUAGUUGAUUAGUUUUGGAUUUUUUUGCUUCAGCAAGAACAUGUUCAAGUUAGCUCUCCAAAUUUCUUCGGUUGUUUUCUUUCUUAUUCACAUUCAAGUCCCAAACCACCAAAAUUUGACCAACGAGGUUAAUAAUCAUGACUAUUAUUUUCCAAUAUUAAUGACCAUGAGCGUUAAAGUAAACGCACGCCAAAAAGAAAAGAGAAUCAGGGCUUCAACCGUUGAAGUAGUCGAAUUAGAUGGAUAAUUAUCUUCUGCAAUGUAAGCAGCACCACACACAAAUAUAGAUACUAAGAUAAUAACAUGAUAAGACACAACAAAUUUUGUUAUCGGUCGAAAGUUGUCCUACAAUAAUCUUGUUCAUCCUCAAAUUAAACUUAUUCCAACCAUCAACUUUUUUUUUUUUUAAUCAUUCAUGUGCCAAUUGCAUAGAACCCCAACCUGCAGUCCAGCAAAAAUGAAACAAAUUUAACCAGUGCCAGCCAGCUACUCUUGCAAAUAAGGAGAAUGAUAUUCAAUUUUUGCAGAAAAGCCUGGAUUAGAGAAGCAGAGGAGUCUCCUAAUUAAUAAUAGUACUUUUUCAAGUGUCAUGACUGACAAAGUCUAUGCCCUUAUAGUCUUACUUGGGCUAUUGAAAAUUAUUUCAAGUCUAAUAAUUAAUCUUUCUUCCACGUUCAAGGAGGGUCCAUUUGUUCGGGUCAAGCACGGCCACAGAAUGGUCUCUUUUCAAGCUCUUUAAUACCGGCUUCACAGCCAUUGGGUAUUUGGCCUGGUGGCCACCACUAAAUUGUCAUUAUAUGCGACAGUUUUAAUUGAUCUUUUAUGGAAUUUUUAUUCACAUCGAAUUCCCUUGAUUAGGUUAUAGGCAUCCUCCCUCUCCUAGAAUAGGUUAGAUUAGAUUAUAGGAAUCCUAUUUUUGAGACAAAAAUAAAAAAAAAAUACUAGUUUCACAAGUAAUACGUACAUUUUAAAGUUUGAUUUCUAUUUGGGCAUUAUUUACAUAAAAGAAUAUGGUCAUACUAUUAUACAUGUGUUGAUGCAUCUUUCUCCAGAUGGAGGAACAAAAUAUAAUUCAAUCUUAAACUCAUGAAUUAUUUCUAACCAAACACCGGAAGUAACGCAAAAAUAUUUGAUCGGUGUAAGAAAACAGGCCUAAGUUUUGUAUACAGCCAAUACUUUUAUGCAAUGGGAGGCAAUUCUUAGGUAAAAUUUUGUUUUGAUCCCUUGAACGUUAGAUGUACUUCAUAUUAUACCCUAAACUUCAUUUUUUGACACUGCACCCUUUAAAGUAUAAAACUCAUCCCACUUUAUUCCUUAAACUUUAUUUCUGGAUAGUUCCCCCCCCCCCCCACAAGACGCGAACUCCUUCUCAUUUUAGUUCUUGAAUGUUGAGCAUCACUUACCUACCGUUUCAUUAGUUUUGACAAUUCUAUGGAAAAGAGUUGAUAUUUGAGGGGAUACAGUGUCUAAAAAUGAAGUUUACGAAUUAAAGUGGAUAAAUUUCAUACUUAAAGGAAGUAAAAUAUCCAAAAUUAAAAUUUAAGGACCAAAAUAGGAAUGUGUUUAUAGUGUAAGGGUCCAAAAUUAAUUGCAUAUUUCACAAGCAUUUCCACCCUAUGAAAGGAAGAUUCAAAUUAACGUAACUAUCCCAAUCCCCACAUAGCAUGCUUUCGUGUAGAUAGAUAGUAAUUAUUGUACUUCCAAUUUAAUUUCAAUAUAUCUUGAUGCCACGAGAAGUAUGGAUGCCCAUUAAUCUAGUUUGAACAAGUCCUUCAAAUUACAUUACACACAGAUUUCAAAGUCUAUAAAGUGUUCAUAAGGCUUAAAGAAAUGAAGAAAAAUAAGGCUUGCAAGGUAGAAAUAUGCGCAACCUUUUUACGUGACAAUGUUGAUAAUGACAUUAUUGCACAAGUCACUUGACCGUCUCAUCUCGGCUUGUAAUGGCGAUUUCAUGGACUAGUGCCCAUCACACUCUCUGUGAUAGGCUAAAAAGGAUGAAAGCCAGUCAAGAAAGCGACCUAAAGAUGUAAAUUUUUUCGUCCUUUUAAUUCCCAAUUCGCGUAUUGACUCUGUUGAACUUAUUGCUUACAUUACGCUUUUUACUUGAAAGCAAAUUGAAAUAUUUUGUGUUCGAGUACUUCAGCAACCAUAGAUAUUAUUUUAUUUGCAAAAAAAUUAUUUGAUUGCAUUAUAGUAAACACAUUUUUCAAUCAAUUUUUUUAUUCUUUUAAUUAUCAUUUAAUCUCAUAUAUGUUGUACUACUAAAAAUGCUACAAUAAUUUUCCAAAAUAUUAUUUCAAAUAAUCUCCUGUUUAAACACACUCCAUGUUGUUCGCUUUUAUCUUAGGAUUAGAGUGAUACACUGUGUCUGGGUAUUAGUUUCCCUAGCAAUCACAAGUACAUUGGAGUUUAUUUGGUGGAUCUUACAAUACUAUGAAUUUUGAAGUUCAAAACAAAAAAAAUCAUCCACCCAUAGAGAGCCAAAUUAAUCAUUUGCAAGUACAGAUCUCCCAGUGAUUUUGCUUAAUGUUUUAUAAACUUCUAGCAUGGAUGGCCUUCUUGCCGGAUCAGAUUGAAUGCAGUCAACUGCAAUUCUAACAAACUCAAGGAUCUCGUCUUUAUAUGCUUGCAUAAUCUCAUCCGAAUCAUAUGGUUUGGAGUUCUGAAAUGUCCAUUCGACCAUAUCAAGACCUUCAAAACUCUUCAGACAACCAUUCAUUUGGCUAAAUUCCUUUUCAGAAAUUAACUCAAGAAGCACAACUCCAAACUCAUAGACAUCCUUCUUAAACGAACCCGACUCCCAUACUUCAUUAUCUACCACAGUUCUCCAACUCGAAGAACUAAAGUUCGAUUUCAAAAGUUUUGCACUUCCAAAGUUGGAUAUCUUGGGUUCACAAGUAUGAUCAAGCAAUAUCCAUCUUGAACAAAUGCUGCUAUGGACUACUCCAACCUGAUGAAGCCAUGCAAGUCCUCUUGCAAUCCCAACUGCUAUUUUCACCCUUAUAGGCCAUUCUAUGCACUUGACCUUGCCGUUUUGAGCAGAAAAGAGGAGAUCAUGGAGGUUUCCAUUCGACAUGUAUUUAUAGACUAAAAGUCUGCUGUUAAUUUCAUAGCAGAAGCCUAUGAGUGGUACGAAAUUGCAAUGUCUCAUCCUUCCAACAGUCAUGAUCUCAGACAUAAAUUCUUGAUCGGAAUCAUAUGAGUUAUGGAGUUUCUUGACGGCAAGAAACCAACCAUUUUGGAGUAUUGCCUUGUACAUUGUCCCCAGUUUCCCCUUUCCAAUUGUAUUCAUACAGUGGAAAUCAUCAGUUGCCUUGCUGAGUUCUUCGAAACUCAUUCUUGUUACAUGUUUUUCCAGUGCCAUAAUCUAUCAUUAGAGCACACACUAUUACUGCAAAAUAUAUACUCCUUAAGGAGCUUCACUUAUGCCGAAAAAAUUUUGGUUGUAAAUAUGAUCUGAAAAAUGGAGAGCACUCAUGAAGUGGUAAAAGAAAGAAAACAGUUAGCUGCUUAAUCAUAACCAAAAAAAGAAAACAAAACUAGACAUAUGAUGUUCAAUUUAAUCCAUAUAUACACCGGUGUAACUUAAAGUUCAUUGUCUGUCUAUAGUAAAACAAAACUGUGUGCUAGCAAGUUUAUACUAAAACUUGAAUGAAUUAAAUGAUCAAACCUUUUACGUUUUACCCACAAAAAAAAAAAAAGGAAUCUGCUUUCUUGAUCAAAGAAUAUUUUAUUUCUUGGAACAAGGAGUGCGAUAGAAUUGGAAAUAGUACGGAUCUUUACACAAGCUUAUGUACUCAAUUUGGUUAUAGGGAAUGAAGUUACCUUAGAGUCUUGGAUUCUCCCAUUCGAAGUUAAAAGUCGUGGUCCUUCAGAAGCUGUAGUCUUUUGUUUUUUCUCAUUCUUGCUCUUUAGUUUUCUUGCACUCAGAAUAGGCACAAUAAACAAGUUAAGAACUAGAGCCAAGAUGGUAGAAAGUACCCAUCCAACCACAAAACCACUUGUGAAGAGGAUUUUGUCCUGUUUCUUUGUUUCUGAAUUAGACUUACAAGGCUCUAAAGGACCACCACAAAGCCCCGAAUUAUUUGCAUAGCUUUCAGAAGGUAUAGUUGCGCUAAUAAAAUUAGGGACUGGGCCAGAUAAAAGGUUGUUGGCAACAUUAAAAAUCUUCAAGCGAUCUAAUAGGCCAAUUUCUGGAGGAAUUUGACCUGUUAAUUGGUUGUUGCUGAGCUGUAGGGCAUUUAGAAAUGAACAAUUUGCAAGAGUUACAGGAAUUUCACCCGAAAAAUUGUUGAAAGAAAGGUUAAGACUUGUAGCAAAUCGGACAAUACGUGAUAAAUCAGAAGGAAUGGUUCCAUAGAGACUAUUUGUUGAAAGGUCUAUAGCCGUUAAAGCUGAGCAAUUGGCUAGGCCUCUAGGAAACUCACCUUUUAGUCCCAUUCCGCGUAGGUUAAUAGUUUGAACCUUAUUCUCGUAAGGAUGCCAGCAUUCAACACCCACGAAGGAACAUAUAAAGCCUUCCGUGCUGUUGUCAUAAUUCCAGCUUGAUAAACGGUGAAAUGGAUCAUCCAAGGACUCCUUGAUAGAUCUCAAGCAAUCAACAUCGCGUGGGUUUCCACUUCCCAAAGUAAAUAUUCCUAGCAAAAACACAAGGGCUACAAGCCUUGAAUUAAUGGCCGUAGCCAUGCAAUUUGAAACAGAACUUGUGCAAGACACUUGUUAGUGCAAAUGAGAGAGUGAUCCCUAUAUUUAUGUGCAGAGGUUGAAGUAAGUAAAUCAGGGAAAGAAGUGGGAAAGUCUCCUAAAGAAUUUGGGGCCGGCAUCGCUCCUGAUUUUUCCCCAAAAAAAAAAAACCACGAGUUGACUGAGAAUUAGUGGUAGUAGUCUCAAGAGUCAGAACCGAAAUGCACGCUAAUAGACUAACACAAGCAUAUACUGUUACUAGGGCUACUGGAAAUCAAUUCAACUCUAAACAUUAGUCUUUCUUCCACAUUCAGGGGGUCCAUGUGGAGAAUUCGAUAGAUUGAUGAAGACCGGAUACUGUCCUGGUCAAAAUUGGCUAGUGGACCGUCACUUUUCUUGUUCUUUAAUUCAAGCUUUAGCAUUUAAGGGGCAAUGUUUUAGAUGGGAGAAGAUUUCAUUCACAAUGUGUAAUCGAUUUCUGGCCUUGUAAUUCUAACUUGCACCAUUUUUCAUAUGUGAGCAACUAUACUCAGGUUUUUGGGACCUGAAGAAUUUUUAAACCAAUUGAUAUAUGUCGUAGGAAUAUUUUCAUAUUCUCGUGGUUAAAUUUAAUAAUAUUGUACAAAGCUAAUAAAUUGAUAAGAUUUUUAUAGUGUUGUAUUUAUCUCUUAGAUAGAACCACAAACAAAUCUUAUAAGCCAGUUUAUCAGUAACUAAUUGAAUCGAUAUUGGCUGAGUUCAAGCAGUUUGAUUAAAGUAUCAAGUAGUUUGAUUAAGAAUAUGCUCCCAAACUUCAUGAUUUGUAGAUAUACUUUUUAACAGUAGCAUUGAUCAUCUAUUUUAAACCACCUUAAAAAAUUAUAACUAAUAUCUAUUUAUAUAUGAGCUUGAUUAAUUAGACUUGAACUCGAGUUUUAUUGGGUUCAAUUUCUUGUCAAACUGUCCUUCUCGAAAACCAAGUCUUAUCUAGGGAUGACAAGGGAGGUGAGUGCUCACGAUGGGAGACUAAUAUAAUUAAAUCUCUUCUCUAGUUCUCCUCAUUCCCUACUUUUCUCGUUGAUUUAUUUCCUGUAGUUCGAUGCUUUAAUCUGGAGGUUCUGAUUCAUCCUAAUGGUAUACUCACAGAUGUUUUCCCACAUAUUCAAAAUGGAUUCAAGCCAAAAAAGAAAAAAGGGAAAGAAAAGGUGCCCCGAUGGAGGGAGUAGGGCGAGCAGGUGCAGGAAUGGGGCGAGAUUAGGGAGGGUUAUAUGACACCGGAGGUCCUCUCUUGCUCUGUUGCCAUCCCUACUCAUCAAGCUUCAACUCGUGCUUCACAUUAAAUGUGCAAGACCAAACAAAUCUCAUCGUAGAUUUGUCAACUUUACAUAAAAUUAUAGGGGAUUUCGUGGAUACUUUAAAACUAUGGGUUCAUAUGAGAUUAUGCAAAAGUAUAGAGGAGUUAUUAGUUAUUUACUCUAAACUCUAUUCUACGUAAGUAAAUAAAUAACUAUAGGAUUAUCACCAUAGGACUAUCGCCUUCCAAGGUGAUAAUCCUAUAGUUAUUUAUUUACUUAUGUAGAAUAGACAAGUAAUUGCAAUCAAGCUUCUACAGAUGGAACAAGUUACUGGAUCUCAAAAAGCAUUGCUAAAAAAAAGUUGCACGGGAUUGUAAAUGUUUGUUUUAGUUUCUAAAAAAUAUAUUGCACAAUAGUACUAUAAAGUAAGCUCCAAAUACACUCGAGGUGAUCCUUAUUAAAUAAAGCCACUGCUAAUUUAAUUUGUGAAUUAGAAAAAAAAAUUUUACGCAAAUAUUCCUAAUUAUAUAUUGGAUAAGGCAUCGACCUCAACGUCUUAAUUAAGUGGCAAUGAAGCUUUUAUAUUUGAAUUCGGUUUCUUAAGCAAAAUAUUGAAUAGCAUGGUUAUUUGGGAAUAUAGUGACAACAGAAGCAUAUUGCACCCACGUAGAUGUCAUGUUUUCUAUUGAUAGAUUUAGAGGAAAUAAAGAUUGGUCACGAACUUUUAAGUUCAUUCCCCGUUUUGCUUUGGGGGAGGGUUGGAUUGGAUGGUUCGGGGGAAGUGUGAUAGGUGUCGAGCCUGUGCAAUAAUAAAUACCUACUCGAAAAAAAUACAAAUUUUGUAUAUAGCGGUGAGCAGGGUCGAAUCCAUAAGGACUGGGAAUAAUUCGUUUCUUCUAGAGUUCAGAGCAUGGAGGAUUUUUGGAUUAAAUGCUAACUAAAUAAAUUAAAUACAAAAAAAUAAUUAAUUGACAGAAAUAACUGGAGAGACUCUAGCCAAGGAUACACUUCAGAAAUAGUUCAUGCAACUGAUCAUCGAUGCAAAUAUAAUUCCAACAAUUAUCAAUAGAUCGGUUAUAGUUGUCAUAUACGCGAUAAACAACCAGCCUUUCUUUAAUUUUUCGAUAAUUAAGUUGUACGACCAUUAACUAUUUCUCUAACUAAGAAACAACUCUAGGUACGACCGUAGGAUUUAAUUUCUAGAUUGCAUUAAGGUUUAGAAAGGUCCAAUCCUAACUAACAAACACGCUACGAGGGUUUAUUUAAGUUAGAUCGUAUGUUUUUUUGACAUAAAUCCAAUUAUGUCAGUUGCUACUAGGACAGAGGUAAUCGAAUAAUUACGGAUUCAAUUACCCUCAAUUAGCAAAUAGCCUAUGUGAAUAAUUAAAUAUUACGUAUCUAUUCAAUUAUACACGAUAGUUAUAACAACAAUCAAAAGCAGAAAACAUACAGAUAUCAAUAAAUGAAGGAAACAAUUAAAAUAAUUUAGAUCUCAUAGUUAUUAUUGAACCAAAUCUUCAGUUGUCCAUUGACUAGAAAUACGAAGUUAGUUCUCCAUUAAUGGAGAACAAGCCAUGUAAAAAUUUGUUUUAAGCUUCCCCGUUGUUUCUUUCCCAAAAGUCGGCUAAAAAGAAAAGUACAAAGACAAGAGAGUUUCCCCUUGAAUUGUUACAAGUUUUUUCCUGGAAAAAAGCCUAAAGAAAAGCUUAUGCCUCCUGUCUCUUGUGCAGCCAGGCCCACCAAAGAGUCACUCACGCUGCUGACUCCUUCGAGUAUUAAUCAUACGGGCCGGCCAUCCUAUCAUUUUCCUAAUUUUUAGUUUUUUGAAACCAAAUAGACUUCCUCCUAAUCUUCCACCAAUAAUCCACGUAGACUCUAUUUUGAAUUGAGAAACUCUUGAAAAAUCACAUCUUUUAUCUCUUUUUGCUUCACCUUCCUACAAUUAGUACCAAAUACCAAAUAUAAGUAGAAUCUAUCAAUUAAUACAAUAUUUGGAAUAAUAGAAGAGGAAAAUAAUCAUAGAAUUAAUGACAAAAAUGCAACCUAUCAAAGUGUAAGUGAGAGGUCUCGGGUUCGAGUCCUCAUACUUACACUAAAAAAAAAAAGAAAAAGAAAAAGAAAAAGAGAUCAACACUAAUUCUGCACGAGUUGAUCUGGUAGCUAGAAAAGAAUGAUUAUAGAAAAUAAUUGAAAGACAAAAUUACUAUCAAAUUGUCACUAAUCCCAAAAUAGCUAGUUAAUAACAACACUAUGGAAAAUCAGGUGCGAGAUAGACGUUCGGGUUAGAUAUAAUUUAGCACCUCUCAUAGUCUUUUUAAUCAUACUCUUCGAAAUACUUGCAUGUUUUCACUCAAAUUUCUCCAAAAAAUAAACAAAAGGUGACCCAAAAAAAAUGAAUUAUGAACCUAUUACUUCUCAAAAGCCCAAGAAUAAAAAAUGAAUACUCGAAGCAACAUAUGAUUAGCACAUCAAAAUGAAGGCAUUCUUAUCUGUUGAUAUAGUGAUCCUAUAUCGCCAUAGACAGUCUUAAGGGGGCGGUCCCCAAAAACCUCAGAACUUUCUCCCGCAAAAAAUUUAAAAAAAAAAUUCAACAAUCAAUGUCCUUUAUGAAUUAUUAUUUUUGUCCCCCACUAGAAUUUCAAAAAUAUCUAUAAAUUUAAUUUGUUCCUCAAAGUAACAUUUCUGGCUCUGUUUAUGUAUAUUGCAUGAGGUUAGUUAACGGGAGAAAAUUAAAAAUAUUAUCAUCAAUACUAUAAAAUUCAAUACAUUUUUUUAUCAAGCUCGGCAAGAAGGUGGUCUUAAAAUAAUUAAAAAAAGAAAAGUAUACAAACCAAAAUAAACUUUUUCAAACAAGAAAAAAACUUUUUUGAAGAAGUACACAAAUAUCUUGCGUAAGUAAUAAAAUAAAAAAAGACUUGAAUUUGAGAAAAUAAAAUGGGGGAUGUUGAACACGUGCUACGCUGAAAUUGACAAAACACGUCAAUUGAUUUUAGGCAGCCAAAAAGACAAAAAGUUCAACUACUUAAUAUGCUGACACUCCUAAUUCUUGGAUCAAUUGCUACUUCUCUAAUUUCUCCCUGUUCUGCCAUAUACCAAAUCCUUACACUUGAAAAUCAUUCUCCCCCCAAAACUUUUAGCGUAAACUCGCACAAAAAAAUGAAAACCAAAAGCACAAGAUUUCUUUUCUAAUGUUAAAUUUUAUUUUCAUCCAUCACAUUGAUGUGAAGUUUUUCGAAGUUCGUUCCUAUGUGAAGGAUUUCGGGAGGGAGGGAGGUAGGAGAAAUGUCGUGAGAGAGGGCGACAGGAGAAGGAUCCUACUAUUUAAUGGGGUUGCUUGUUUAAAUUGGAGUUAAAUAAUGGGGACAAAAAUCAAAGGGCAAUCUUCAUAAAUUUCCAAACAUGCUCAAAUUAAUUCCAGACAUGACGUGAUUGACUUAAAAUAAUGUGUUGUUUUUUGCAUAUAUAUUUGUCAGAAGAAGAAUUUGGUGGCUUCAUCUGAUUGAAAAAAAAAAUUUUAAAACGUAAAAUUCCCUGCUUUUUAUCUUCCAUGAACUUUUCCCUCUAAUCUUUUUUCCUUUUUUUUUUUGUAUUUGUUACCUUAUUACUAUAACUUUUUCAAUAUUGAUCAAGGUAUCAACUUUUUGGACUUGUUGAGAUGCCUUGAAUUAGAUCUUCAACCCCCGCUGAGCUGUACGGGGAUCUCGCUGCCCGGUCAGCAAGUCGGGGGUCUAGGGGGCGACGCGCCCCGACUGAGGGGCCCGGGGGGCAGCGUUGCCCCCGGUGGGGGUUCGGGGGUAACGCCCCCGAAACUUACGGUAUAUAUUAGUUACCGUGUCUGUUUUAUUUUGGGUCUUGUUUUGGGCCUAUUUUGGGUCCAGUCUGUUUGGUUGUAUAUAUAUACACCUUAUUUUAGUCGGUAAACUAUUCCGAUUACAACCCUAAUAAAAUCUGAUUUCCCCCAAGUUGUUCUUGUCUAUUCUUGUUUGUUCUUCUGUUCCGCUGCAUCUGCUAUAACAGGACUUUUCUGAGGUAUCCUGUUAUUAGGUUGCAUUUCUAAUGUUAAAAAUGCUCUCAGCACUUUUUCCCCCUUAAAUUAUGGCAGCUUUUAUUAUGAUCAUUUUCGCUUUGUUAACUAUAGCUCAAAUGCUCAUUAAUAUGGUGACGCAAACUUUUUGCACGUGUUAUUUUGUUGUUUUUAAGAAUAAUAAAAGGAUUCCUCUAGUUUGGUUUUUCUGGAUUCUUUGGCUUGUAAUUGGUUAUAAAACACAAUUUAUCGCGCAAGGGUCUUAUUGCUGUUGUUAUUCUUUUAUUCCUUUUUUUCCAUAUCGAAACGUAGUCAUAUGAAGUUGCCUUGCGUUGGCGAUGUAAUAUGAAAGAAAUUGCUGUUCAGGUGCAAGUUAUCCAGACUUUUCUAGCCAAAUAAGAAUUUGAAACAUAGUUUAAAGAGCACCUUGAAGUGAACCAUUGUUGGUAUUGCUAGAAAAGAAAGGAGAAGCUGUUAGUUAGAUGUUUUAAAUUGGUCGAGUCUUGAAAAAUUUUGUUAUGAGGUUUGAUGCUCUUAUUGUCUGCCUAAAACCUGAAUUGGUCAAGCACUGCUCAUUGUCUUUGCCCAUUUUAAAUAUGUUCAUAUGCUUUUGAAGGAUUAAGCUUCCUAGGCUGAAGGAAAAGAAACCAGGUAUCACAAGCACUCAGUACAGAGAAGCCAGUAUAUUUUUCACAAAAUGGAAUGUUAGAUUAACAUAUGUCACUGAAACUAUGAGUGGACUUAUAAAUUGAAACAAUUGGCUUAUGGUGAACGCAUUUGCAAUUCAAUUUGUACCGUUGCCAAGUCAAUUGGAACUCUAAAUGUAUUGCUGAUUGAUGAACAAGGAAUAUGUUUAAGUUUGAUAUAAUUCUGGGGUGAUUGUUUGCUUUGACCCCAAAAAGAAAAAAAGAACAAAACAAGGCAAGAUGGAAUUCUGUUGUGUGAUAGCUGAUCAAAUAGGUUGCACAGAAAUAAUAGAAAUUUGGUUUCAUUUGGACUAUAAUUGUACAGGUAUGAAGACGAUCGAUAGGGUAAUAAUGGGUGCAGAGGGUACUUAUUGCUUUCUUCCUAUUUGGAGAAAGUUGAGAAGUAUUUAUCUUGAACCAAUUUUUGAAAAAUAGGCAUACUUUGAAGCCCUAUACAAGAAAUUGCUACUUAAAAAUUUGUGCUACUCAUGAAGAAAUCUAAAAUGGUUCAAGUCUUGCAAUAAACCAUAUGAAAUGUGCAGUUAGGUGUCCAACAACUGUUAAAAAAAUUCUUCUACGUUUUGUUUCAUCUAACUAUUCCUUGUUUGGGUUUCGAAUUUGUAAAUAAACUUGGGCUAGUAGACUCGACUUUUGGAGUAACUUGGAUCCUUCCAUCCAGGGUAGUUCUUAUUUUACAAGGUCUAUUAGCAGCCGGUUGCAUCAUACGAUGUGUUCUAAAGUUUGGUCCACUUGGAAACAUGGUUCUAGGGUCAUCAUUCAUCUGGGCACGCCUCAAAAUUUGAGUUGAAGUCUUGAGAAUGUUGAGAAUGUUGAAGUCUUUGGAUAGGUUCGAUUUCAUUCAUUUGGGCACAUCUCAAAAUUUGAAGAGCUUAUCACUAUGUGGCAGAUGUGUCAACACAGGUAAAUUGAUUGACAGUUUCGUGACUAAAUCCCCUCAUGUCGAGUCUCUGAAAUGUGUGGAAUGUGCUUCCUAUGACCACUUGGAAAGAGAACAUCUAACAAUGCUCGCUGAAGCAUAUCUACCGGUAUUCAACAUCAGAAAGGCCUAAGUAGAGAUUGAAGCUCCAAGAGUUCCAUCUUUCUAAAAUGGCAAUAAAGUCUUCCCGAAUUUGUCUUUCGCGAAUGGUUCGUGCAAUAUGGUGUGUCGUACUUCUAUAUACUGCUUCAACCUCAUUGACUCCCGGUGGUUUUUGAGGUUGAGCAAGCUGGGGUCCAAGUUGCUUCCGUCGAUAAUAUUUACUAGACAUCCUAGUUCCUCGAAAAGGGCACGACAUCAACGAGAGCGUAGAAGACAUGCUGUUUUUAGUACUGAUAACUUUGUGAUCAAUUACGUCGAGAUGCAGGCUGAUCGACGAGAUGAUUGAGUCCUGCAAAUCACCCUGCACUAAAUUAUGGCAGAAUAAUCUGAAGCGAGUGGAUGUCAAGCUGCCGUCUCUGAACUAGAUUAGAAUGGGAUGAUGAUGAAUAUUUGAAUUCAAGCAAGGCCCAAGAAGCAGAUACCUUAAGCUUAGACUCUUAGUUUCAUUACGGUAUCUGUUUAAUUAGUUCUUGAAGAAGGGUUACUUCGUUCAUGUAAGAGGGACACUAGUUGAUGAGGAGUCACACUGUAACUCACAAAUGAGUGGCGGCUCAUUUGGAUACUAUGCACAGGUUUUAACCUAUAAUUGCAGGUUUUACUGGGACGAAUUUGCAAUGGUAUACUUAAUAUGGAUUAAUCUUAUAUACACUGUAGUAUAUAUACUAUCAUCAUUAAAUAUAUGAUACAUGUGCAAAAUUUGUUUACGUGUCAUUUAUCCAACCAUGAUAGUGGAUACAUCGACAAUGUGUAUGAAAUUUACUUAUUUAAUACAACCAAUAGUAUGUUUUUGUUAGAACAAGUAAGUUUCAAUAAUUUGUGUAACUUAUUUUUUAGAUAACAAAUCUUACUAAAAUUUUAACAAAAAACUACUACUUUUCUCCAAAACUUACAUUUUUGUGAUAAAGCUUAUAAAAAAUCUUACUUUCAAGCAAAAAACUUACCAUUUUUAUACAAAUUUUAGUACUUUUUUCAAGUCAAAACGUAUGAUUUCAAUAACAAAUCUGACCACAUUUUUAGUAAAUUUUACUAAAUCAUUAACAAAUCUUAAUAUCUUUCAAGCAAAACUUUAUGCUAAACUUGCUACUUUUUUCAAGCAAAACAUGUGACCUGAUUAUUAAAUCUUACCUUUUUUAUGGAUAAUUUUAGAAACCUUCCCUAAGGCUUAUUUGAACACCACUUAGCACCCUUGAAAUUUUAAAAUAUCACCAACCUCCCCUCAAAUAAUGAAUUUUGCAAUAAUGUCACCUUUAUCUCAUAAAAGUACUUCUAAAACAAUCAUUUAAGGGAAAUAGAUAUAUUUUUCUUCUAGUUUUACACUUUUUUUUGAGUUUUCUACCAAAUUGAUUUCUAAGAUAAGAUUUACAUGAGGAAGACUUUAAAAGUUCUUUUUUUUUUGGAAGGGAAAGGGCACUAAGUGCUACAGUAUUUGUCAAAAUAGUGAUUUUUUUUAUCCUAAAUAUUUAUGAGAAUAUUGAAGAAAAUUUAAUAUAAGAUUGGUAUAGGAAGAUUUAAAAAAGGUAGAGAAGACAGAUAUUUAAGUGCAAAAUUAAUGGCUUGAGUAGGCAAUUUAGAUUUACAAUCUUCUAAUUUUUGUGGAAUGAAUAAUUAUUCGAAUAAUGAGCAAAAUUUGAUAUAAGGUUGUUAUAGAAAGAUUAAGGGGGAAGGGAAGGGUAUUAAGGGCAAAAAAAAUAAUUAUUUGAAUAGCCUUUUCUUAUUGAUUUCCUUUUUUCCAAGUUUUUUCACAAAUAAUUGUUAAAAUAGUAAAGUUAAAUUAAUAAAAGAUUGGCAUAAAACUAUAGAAUAAAGGGGUGUUUAACUAUAGAAUACCCCUUUUUUUUAACAGAAAAUAUACUAGGUCUUAAGUAAAUUUUACCAUCCUUUUAGUGAAAGUUACAACCUCUUCAAGGACUUUUAGUACCUUUUAAACCAAAUAAAGUUCUAGUCAAAUUUACCAAAUAGUACUUUUCUAGAUGGCUAUUGGUAAAAUUCACUUCUUUUUUUUUGGUAAGUAAACCUUACUACAUUAUGGAUAAACUUUACCAACUUUAAAGCACAACUUAUCAUUGUUUUACACAAAAUUCACUACUAUUUAAAGUAAAACUUAUUACUUCAUUUACUGUUCUUACCAUUUGAGAAUGGAUGGAAAUUUAUGUAGAUUAAAUCUUUUAGAUGUCAUCAUCAAUUUUUUAUAAGCCUAUCGGUACUAGUCAUCUAAGAGUUUUUUUGCCAAAAUAACUCUUUUUCCUAAACAAAGUAAUCUAAUUUUAAAAUUUAUUACUUUUAUAAUUUUUUGUGUCACGCAAGUUGCAUACAUGUCACGAUAGAGAUAGAAGCACACUUCACUUCUCUUUCCCACUUGAUAUCUUUCAACAAUUCUCUCUUUGAACCUUCUUGCAUUUUUUUCUUCCCUUAUCUUUUCCCUUGUCAAGGGUAUGAAUUCAGAGGAGCCAAUAUUUAUAUUAACAAAAUUUAAAACUUUAGUAUCAUCAUUGAAAUUGUUUUAGUGGAUGAAAAUCUUCUUCUCGAAUAGACAAUUUCAAGGUAAACAAAGAUUAUUUUCUUAUCUUUUUUAUUGUGCAGUUUUUGCAACAUUAUGUGGCCUUCAAAAAAUUUUGAAUAGUGAUAGUUUAAUAAUAAUUUCACACACCAUGUGUUUGAUAAAAUGUCUUGGAGAAAAACUACAAGAAACCAUAGAUUCAUACCCAUCAUGUUUGAUAUCCUCCACAUAAAUGAGCAUGUUCAUUUCUAACGUUUCUCUGUCAAAUGAUCAAAUAAUCUCAUGUAUUUGAAAUAGUUUUCCACAUGUAUUCAACAUAAAUUGGAUUUUAUUUGCCAAAAUAUAUUUGCUUACAUCAUCAUUACAAUUUCCAACACACCUUUUUAUCUUCCUAAUUUCCUUUUUAUCUCACAUACAUCACAUUACAAAAAGUGCUACAGUAAAAAUAUCUCUAAUAAUUCACAAUCCAAACAAACCCAGUGUUCCACAUAUAUUCAACAUAAAUUGGAGGUUUGUGUUAUUUUUGAGCAAGUUUAGAAUUAUUUUAAUUAGUUUAGUAGAUUUCAUUUGCAUUACAUGAAGUUUACCGGUCCCCAUUUUGCUUUAAACUACUAGCAGUUCUUUUAUCUGGUAGUAUUAUGAAUAACAUGUAAAAGAUGGCCUUACUAAUUGCGGACAAAUGCUGGUAGUUCUUGUAUUAGAUAGUAUGACAAUAUUUAGUUAAUUCAUGAUUUUUUUAAAAAAAAUUUUGUGCAAGCGGCCUAGCUGAAUUUUGUAGCUUGACUACUUUUUGUAAAAAUUCAGGAAUUCUUGCAUUAGAUAAUAUGACAACAUUUACUUAAUUAAUGAAUUUUUUAUUUUAUGCAGGCAGUCUAGCUGAAUUUUGUAGCUUGAUUACUUUUUGUAAGAGUUCUUUUCAGGAAGUUGGAAGGAUAACAGAAGCAAUUACAAUAGUCUUGAAUUUUUUAUAACUUUUUCUUGCUAUUACACACAAUUAUCAAUGCAAUUUUUGUAUUUUCCAAAUUUAUUUUUUGAAACAAAUAUGCACAAUAGGUUUGAUACAUCUCAAAAAAAAUAUGCAAAGACCAAAUAUAGCAAGGUUGAUAGUGGUGGAAUUUAUUUUAAAUAAUUAUAAAGAAAUUAUCAAAGCUAUGCAAUCUUCUUGUGCCUCUAUAAUAAAAAAAACUUUUAAUUUUUGGUUCAUGUUGGAAAUUAUAAAAUUGAUAUAUUUACUACUAGAUUGAAGCUUUCCUUUCUUGUUAUGCUACUUGACAAUCAGGAUAACUACAUAGCAAUAAUAACAUCAUUAUAGGAAUAAAUUUUGAAAAUAAAUCACAUUGGGAAUAUUUUUUAGAAAGAGAAUUAUUUUGGCAAAAAACUCGUCAUCUAAUCUAUACUCCUGUGUCCAUCUAUUUCUCACCACGAAGAAGGUAAUAUACGAAUGAACUCGCCGGCCGUGCUCAUUAAUGUACAGUGGAAAACUCUACCCCUUUUGAGUCCUAGAAUACUUGUUUUGCAUAUGGUUAUUUCCAGAUUUGAGGCCUUACAAGUUCUAGUCCAAAUUAAUUGUUACAUUGGGUAAAAACUCGUACAAUUUUGGUGUAAUCAUGUUUUUGCAUAAAUUUAGUUGUAUAAGUUACAAACUUAAGUUUUACAUCAAAGUUGUUUCGGUUUACAAAAUAUUAUAAAAAUUAUACAAUCGGAUUAAACUAGUUAAUAACUCAACUUGUGAGAUACCAGAUCUAGUUAUUUUCCACCUAUAGCUAAAAAUGAAUAAACCCAUGUCAAUUUGUGUCACUCGCUUAGGUGGAUAUUGAUUUUUAGAGGUGGCAAUGAAUUGAGUAGAUUCUGAAUACUCAUAUACUCAAGUUAGACGAAUGUUAUAUUUAGGCACUUGAACUCGACUUGAAUAAAAUUAAAGGAGGUUGAGCUCGUGCUAGAGCUCGCUUGAGAAAACAAAGUGAGCUCAAAUUGAGAAUUCCUCGAUAAUAAUUGGCCUUACUACUAAUGGAGACUUCGUUAAUUUCAUUAUUAUUAUUAUUAUUAUACUAUAUGAAAGAAAAGCUUGACAAAGCUUUUAAACUGCAUGCCUUAAGGUUUGACCCUGACCAAAAAAGGGGUUAAAAUAGCUCAAGCUCAAUUUCAAUUCAGUCAAAUUCGAGCUCAAAUAAGUAUUUGACUAGCCACUUUUUUUUUUUUUUUGUUAUAACGAUUAUAUUCUUAUUACCUAAUCUAUCAUAUUCUACAGGGAGGGGGAAUCUAAAGAGGUUGUGUAAAGGAUUAGCAGGUGUACAAACCUAACUACACUCUUUUGAAUUUUUUUUCAUUGCAAGUGGGAUUUGAAAUGCUCGAUUGAUUGCCACCCAUAGUCAUUUUGCAACUCAAGGACUCAACAAUUGAAUUUUGAAGUGACAUAAAUUACCAUCAUUAAAAUUAAAAACCCUGGAAUCAGAUAGAUUAGAGGUAUUGAAUUGUUAUAAAACUAAUAAAAUAAACCACUAUAAUAUCAAGUGAAAUAUUGGAGAUAUUAGAGAAAGAAGUAGAGAAAAUAGAGAGUGAUUAUCUUAUUAUUCCAACUAAUACAAAAGUCCUGCUAAAGGGAGUCAAUGUACCUCUAUAUAUAGGUACUACAAGAUUAAAGGAACAUUAAUCCUAUUAAACACCCACUACUACAAGAAUAUGAAGAAACCUAUGAAACAGUUCUUCCACUACAUGAAUAGAUUUAUGGAUUGUAACUUCUAUACAUAAUGUAGUCAUAAAUCAUGAAUUAAUCCUCUUGGGAAUACAAAGGGACAUCCAUACUUUUAAUUGUUUCAUAACACUCCCCCUUGGAUGUCCAUUACACAAAGAAUAUGCCUCGUUAAAACCUUACCAGGGAAAAACCCAUCGGGACAAAAACCCUAGUGAAGGAAAAAGAGUACACUAUUCUUGUGUAUUAAUUUCUCUCCCUGAUGCAAACAUUAUUUGAGAUCUUUUAAUCGUUACAUUCCAAUAUUCUUCGCCAAUUGCACUGAGAUAUGGUACUUCAGGACCAAGUAUCUCUUCAUCUUCUUCUUGCGAUCUAAACGGAUCAUUAUUAGGAUCUAAUGAUCUGACGACUAUUGGAAUAUUUAAUAUAUGUGCCUUAUUCAUAUAAAAUCGUUUUAAUACCUUCCGGGUAUAAGCAAUUUGGUGGACAAAAAUUCUACAUUUCAAAUGCUCAAUUUGUAAACCAAGGCAGAAUUUUGUCUUUCCAAAAUUUUUGAUCUCAAAUUCUAUCUUCAAAUAUUCAAUAAUAUUUUGAAUCUCUUCAGGAGUUCCAAUUAAAUUUAGAUCAUCAACAUAUACCACAAUUAUCACAAAAUUUGAUCCAUUUUUCUUGAUAAAAACACGUGGACAUAUUGGAUCAUUGGUAUAACCUUCUUUUGUCAGACAUUCAUUGAGACGGUUAUACCACAUACGUCCAGAUUGUUUGAGCCCAUACAGAGACCAUUGUAAUUUAAUAGAAUAAAUAUUUUUAGAAUUUGAUUUGCAUGCUUCAGGCAUGUUGAAUCCUUCGGGGAUUCUCAUAUAAAUAUUAUUUUCAAGAUUCCCAUAUAAAUAUGCAGUAACGACGUCAAUUAGACGCAUAUCUCAUUUCUCAUGUAUUGCAAAACUUCACAAGAUAUCUAAAUGUAAUAGCAUCCACUACAGGUGAAUACGUUUCAUUAUAAUCAAAUCUAGGCCUUUAUGAAAAUUCUUGGGCUACAAGUCUUGCUUUAUAUCUCACAAUUUCAUUUUUCUCAUUUCUUUUUCUCACAAAUACCCAUUUAUAUCCUACUGGCUUUACACCUUCAGGUGUUUGGACUACAGGUCCAAAAACUUUUCUUGUAGCCAGUGAGUCCAAUUCAGAUUGGAUCGCAUCUUUCCACUUUACCCAAUCAUUUCUACACCGACAUUCAUCAACCGAUCUAGAUUCAUGAUCCUCAUCAAUUUCUAUAAUAUCAAGUACUACAUUUCAUUAGGUUCCAAUUAAAUUUUCUAUGAUUUAAUUCUCUUCAGGAGUUGACUCUUCAGGAGCGACCUCUUCAAGAGGUUGAAUUUUGUCAUGACAUUUAUUUAAUCUCCAGAGAUAUUUGAAAUCAAUUUAUACCUAAUUUAGGUAGGCCGGCCUUAAAUUUAUUUGUAGCACUUGUGCAUGUCCUUCAGGGACAUCAAUUUUAAUCAAAAUAUUUCCUGUAGGAAUAAUUGAUUUAAUGACUCUUCUGGAGUCGAUAAAUAUAAUUGAUAAUUGGUUUGCAACUUUCUGCAAAUGAAUAAUCUUUUGAACUUCCAGUUCACGUUAUUUUGUAUGAGGAUCGAGGAAAUUCAAUUUUUUAAAAUGAUUUCCUUUCGGUUGAUCUUUUCCUCCCCCUAAUGUCGGGAAUCGUAACUCAUCAGAAUAAAUAAAUCAUUCAAUAAAUCACCCAUCAAUAUUUUACGAUAUUUAAUCGUAAAAGGUGAUUCAUAUCCGACAUAAAUUUUAAAUUUCUUUUGGAGCCAUAUAUAAUAUAAAGGGGGUAUGUAUAAAUACUUGUCGGCUCUCAAAUAUUCUCACUUUUGUCAAAUCAUAUAUCCGUUGGGAUCAGUAAACUUCUGGUUUACUGCAGGUGAUGAUUAUAAAUCAAAAUGAGGAUGAAGACAACUAUAUCGAUAACCAUUUCUCUCUCGAAUGGUUAUUAUAAUAUAAUUAAUCUUUAUCUCACCUGAUUUCUAAACAUGAUCUCUAUUAUUGUCUCAUUUAGUGUCUCAAUUUGAUAUCCAUUUCAACGGAUAUUCAAAUUCAAUAAAUUCUUCGAGACAUGGUAAAAAGUAGUGCUUCAUUUAUCAUAAACUUUUCUCAUACAGGGAGAAAUAUAUCAUUGGCUCUUCUAGAGCUUUCAACUUUCAAUCACUUAAGCACUACCACUGAUUGUGUUUGCCUCUUUUGUUGGAAAAUAGUGCAUAUAGUAGCAUUUAUUAAUGAGACAUAUAUCAUUGUCACCAUAAUUUUUAUGGGACAAAUAUCAUCACCAUAAUCCUUUGAUUCCAAAUAUUUAACAUUCAUUUCUUCUUCGGAAAGAAAAGUUAAUUAAAUCAAUCAUCAUACACCUUCAGGGUGUUUAAAGAAAUUGGCCAUGUGAAGAUGAUAUUAUAAUUUUGAUUCGUCAAAUGUACUUCGGGACAUUUAUCUUCGGAAUUCUUAUUUUCUUGUCCUUAUUAUUAUUAUCCCACUUUAACUGGUAACUUUUUCUCUUGUCAUGGUAAAAUACAUAUUUACCAAAAUCAUAGUCAUGACAUCAACCAUAACUAGUAAAUUGCACAUUCACUUCUGGGAAUGGACUAGAACUAACAUACAAUAAGUACAGAAUACUACUCAAAUUUUCUCUCAAUAUUGCUACUACAGGAGCGUAUUCGAGAAAUCAAUUGUAGAGAAUAUCAUUUUCAAUAUAUCUUAUGAGUAAAAUUUUCUCGACACAAUUUCAAUUGAGAAGUAAUUCUGAAAAAUGCAUAAUUAUGUUCUUGUAGUCAUAGGUAAAUUUAUCAUACCAGGCUUUUGAAAUAAUGACCAUCUUCUGGUGGCCAAAUCUUUUUGUUAAAGAACGACCAUCUUCAGGUGGUCGAAUCUUUUUCUUUAAAGAUUUCAAAGGACAAAUGAAUCCUCAAAUAUAAUUGAUUUUCUAUAAUAGCAUCUCCAAAAUUCAUUGCAUCAGAAUAUAAGUAUUUAUUACAAAUAAUUCUAAAGAUAAAUAAGUAGAAUUAAAAGGAGAAAUAUUACCUCAAAAAUGUCAAAAAGUAUAUGUUCUUGUUUAGUAGUUGCUCAGUAGUAGACACUUGUAUUUUGCAAUCAUUCAAAGGUUAACCAUAAUAAAUUGAAAUAAAUUUAUAGGUUAGAAAUUUACCUCAAUAAAUAGACAGAUGUUGCCGAAAAAAUACGGGCAGAAUCUCUUGUUUCAAUUUUACUCAAGGUAAAGCCUCCGUUUUCACCUUUUGCUCAAAAGUAGAGACUCGUGCUGAUAACGUGUUAUAAAACUAAUAAAAUAAACCACUAUAAUAUCAAGUGAAAUAUUGGAGAUAUUAGAGAAAGAAGUAGAGAAAAUAGAGAGUGAUUAUCUUAUUAUUCCAACUAAUACAAAAGUCCUGCUAAAGGGAGUCAAUGUACCUCUAUGUAUAGAUACUACAAGAUUAAAGGAACAUUAAUCCUAUUAAACACCCACUACUACAAGAAUAUGAAGAAACCUAUGAAACGGUUCUUCCACUACAUGAAUAGAUUUAUGGAUUGUAACUUCUAUACAUAAUGUAGUCAUAAAUCAUGAAUUAAUCCUCUUGGGAAUACAAAGGGACAUCCAUACUUUUAAUUGUUUCAUAACAUGAAUAGAGUUUUUUUGUUCUAUGUUCUUCUAAUGAAAUUUUCUAUUUUGAUCUAAUAUUUUUUCAACUUUCUCAAAUUUAACUGAUAAAAAUAUUUUAAGAGACUAAAGUGAUAGAAAUACUAAAAGUCAAGGGUAUAAAGUGUAAAAAACCCUUUUGAUAGUCAAAUAACAUAUUUGAUUUUCUACUCAAAAAUUACAUAUCCUGUCAACUUAGACCUUUUGUCGAGGAGGUUAAGUCAUAAAAAGUUCCACUAUGAAACCUCCUAUUUUCCCUUCUCCUUGUACAAUUGGAGCUUUCCACUGAACCCAAAGAUAAAUAAAUAAAUGAUAAAAAACUAUAAGUAGGCACUAAAGUGAUAAACAUGCUAAAGUUUAGGUGGCUGAAGUGUUUGAAACACUGGAGUUUUCUUGCAAUGCUAUACUUGGAGUCCUAAUAGGAAACGGAAUAGACGCAUUAUAGGGCAUCCCAUUAUAGGAUUCCUAAAAGAAAAAUUUUGCAAACUUCCAAAGUAUACGAAAACCUCCACAUCUUUUCUUUUUCCUUUACUUUCAACUCAUCCCCUCGAAGUUAAUUGUAUCAAUUCAAGAGCCAAAACCAUGGAAAAAGAAGUGCCGCUGUACUUGCCGGAAGGCAUAAUCCACCAUAUAUUCUCUUUUCUCAACACAAAACAGAGAGCCCAAGCAAGCCUUUUAUCCAAGGCUUGGCUGAAGGCAUGGCGCACAAACCCCAGAUUAGAUUUUGAUGAUCGGUACUUCCACCAAAUAAAGAACCCUGUUUGUAAAUUUUUCGAGGAUCAACGAAAUUGCUCACUUAAGCAUCCAGGAAAUUGCUCGAGUUGUGAAGAGAAGUUCAGGGCCCAUGUUAGCAAUUAUACUUUGUUGCGGAAACAUGAUUACCAAGAUCAUCAUAUAGAGGAGUUCAAUCUUUCCAUGACCUUGAUCAAGGACGAUUAUGUGGCUUGUGACCUGAUCAACACAUGGCUUGGGUUUGCUGUAGAAUUUGGUGUCAAAGUUCUUCAAGUCACUUUGCAUCAAGGUCUGUAUUCAUCGUACACUCUGCCUAUUGGUCACAUAUUACCUAAGGCUGAAUCAUUAACAGAGUUACGGGCUAAAAAUUGUAGAUUCCCAAUGCAGAUAUAUGGUGAAAGGAAUAUUAUGUGCAAGAAUAUCAAGGUAUUAAAAUUUGAAGAAGUCUACAUAACUAACGAGAUGUUUGAUUGCUUAAUUGCGGGUUGCCCCUCGAUCAAUGAUUUGGUGAUCAUUGAUUGCAGGGGCUUGAACAAAAUCGAGUUGAUCAAUCUUUGCAGCCUCGAAAAACUUCGUAUAUAUGUAAAGAAUGAUUUAACUAUCAAAGUUGAUCAAGCACCUUGUCUUGAGAAUGUUGAGUUGUUGUCUUUGGAAUGGAUGAAUUUUGUUCAACUGGGCACAUCUCCAAAUUUGAAGAGCUUAUCACUAUAUAGUGGCAGAUGUAUCAGAAAUGGUCAAUUGUUCGAUGACUUCGUGACUAAAUUUCCUCGUCUCGAGUAUCUGAGAGUUAUAGAAUCUGGUAGCUUUUCUGGCUUGGAAAGAAUAAAUCUAACAAGCCACUCGCUGAAGCACAUACACUGGUUUUCAACUUCAGAAAUGCCCAAAGAAUUAGAUAUUGAUGCUCCAAGCCUUGCAUCUUUCUCAUAUACCAAUCAAAUCAUCCCAAAUUUAUCUUUUGCAAGUGCUUCAUGCAAAAUGAGGUCUUGUAUUUCUAUAUGCUGCCCUCAUCUCAUUGACUACUCGUGGUUUCUGAGGUUGUAUAAGCUGGUGUUGAAUUUGGUUCCGUCUAGAAUAUCACUUGGCAUCGAACUCCCUCACGCUAAACAUGGCUUCCAAGAGAGCAUAGAAGACAGAUUGAUUGCGAUGAUUGCGAGUACUUGUGUUCCUGUUCAAGUUGAGGAACUCCAGUUAUAUACGGUGGCCAAGUGGUCACCAAACAUUGAUGAACAUAGUUGUAUUAAUCUUAUUGAUGGUUUGUUAUUGGCAUGUCAUCCUAAGACUUUAGUCUUGCCGAAAACGAAGGCACAUCUAAGUACUGGCAACUUCAUGAUCAAGUACUUGCUCAACAUGCUGGCUGACAGACGGGAUGAGGAGUCCUGCAAAUCUCCUUGCACUAAGUUAUGGCAGAAGGAUCUAAAGAAAGUAGUUAUCAAGCAGCCGCCACUGGACUGCAACACUUUGCUGGAUGAAUCAGUGAGUUUUGAGAGUGGGAAGAUGCAGAUUAUUUUUGCUUUAGAAUGGGAUGAUGAUGCAUCUUUGAAUUCAAGCAAGGCCCGAGUACGUAGCAGAUACCAUGAGCCUUGAGGAAUUAAGCUUAGAUUCCUAGUUUCACAAGCUCUGUUUAAUUGGUUCUUGAAGAAGAGUCGCUUAGCUAAUUCACCUAAAAGUAAGUUACAUUUCAUGUCUGGGAAUUCUCCUUAAUUUGAGGAUGGUUGGGAAAAUUUUAUGAAGAUUGAAUUUUUGUUCUUCUAACGCUCUUUAAUUUGUGUCUCCAUUAUUUUAAUCUUUUAGAUAUUGUUAUUGAUUUUGUUUUCUUAAGCCUAUCUGUCCUAGACAUCUCUACUCCAUUUGCUAUUUUGCUUACCACGAGUAGGGUUGUUUGCUUACUUUCUUAUUAAUGUAGAUUGGAAAACUCUAUUCCGUUUGACACCCUAAGUCCUUUGUUUUUCAUAUCAUUAUUUCCUCACCCUAUCUGAAAAUCAAUAACGUUGAAGUCAUACAUGUCACUCGGUUAUUUUGAAAUUCAAGGGAAAAAAAAAAGAAAUAUACAAGUUAGAUUAUAAGAUGUGCAUUGAUUUUAGCCAUAUAGGAGAGGUCAAAAUAUACAUGCGUACAUCUCCUACAAAUUCAGGAUGAUAGAGUUGGUGUCAUGCUUCCCUGCUAACUAAAGUUCGAACUUCUCUUGAGACAUUUGCCUGUCGCACAGAAUUUGCCUAGUAUAUCUUACCCUUCCGUGUUUUUGGCCGGUAAUUACACACACACACACACACAUAUAUAUAUAAAUACACACUAAAUUAUAUUAUAUUCAAAUUGAUUUAUAUUAUGAACAAACAAAUUUACAUUUUGUUGAAAUGCAAGAAAUCGUGUCGGCCCGUUAGACCAGUAAUUGUCCCCAUAUCAGGUUCAGUUGCUUAGCAAUUUGAUAACUCCUUGGAUCAAGGUCCAAAGUGUUCGAUUAUUUGCAGAUUCAAGUGGUAUAUCUUACAAGAUAUAAAAGUACCAAGCUCAAGUACUGUAGCAAUUUGUGGUCCGGUUAUUGCGGUAAUUUUCAUCAAUUUGAGGGGCCUUUGGUUAGGGUGUCUUAGUGGGUUAUUGCAGUAAUUUACACCAAUUUGAGGGCCCUUUGGUUACGGUGGUGCCAAUAACUAUUGUUCAUUUGUUGGUAAUUGAAUGGAGCCAAUAACUAUUCUUCAUUUGUUGGUGAUUGGCUGAUUGCAUGGAGCCACAUUAGACCGGUUAUUGGUGUAAUAUUGACCAUUUCAAGGAACUAAUCGUUCCUAAUUACAAUUAGAAAUAUAUGAUAUAAAAUCAAAUAGGUGUAAUAUUAGCCACACUAGACCAGUUAUUGGUGUUGUAAUGCCCGGUGCAACCCAAUGAGUACAAACAAUUUCACAAUGAUGCACAAAGAUAUAUCAAAUUUAAGCACAAUAAAGAAAACUUAAUUAAAGAGAAAAGAUAAGAAAUGCAAACCAAAUAUCAAUCCAAUAGCCUCUUCAAUUGAUGGCGAUGCUAACCAAGAUGUACAAGUGAAGGUUCACUCCUUCCUCACCCCAAAUACUCUUUGGUUGAGCCAAGAAGUUUUACAACAAUUCUAGUUAACUCUCAACAACCUACACUUGAAAGAUCACUCACCCAAUUAAGAACUAUUUUAUACAAAUGAGGCAACCUUCACCAAGGUUUUACCACUCCAAGUGAUAGGUUCACCUUCACCAAGGUUUUCACUUGAACAACCUCACAACCCAACUUUCCCAACCCCUUAUACAACCAACAAAGAAUCUUUCUACUCAAAAAUCUCACUUGUAAGCUUGUAUUUUGUGUUGGCAAAAGUCCCUUGUCUUCUUGUGCUUUGGGGUGUUUAUAGAAGGUGAGAAAUGGUUUCAAAAGGCUCUCCAACGGUCAAAUAUUAAAUGCUGUCAAAACUAGCCGUUGGCCUGUCGGACGUCCGAGACCUCCUGUCGGACGUCCGAACCCUGCGUCCAAACCACCUGUCGGACGUCCGAAUCCUGCGUCCGAACGUAGGCAGAGAGUCAUCAAAUCUUUGCGAAAUUUCUCGGACGUCCGAUGCGAUCGAUGUGCGUCCGAGGCGUGCGUCCGAUCCUUCCGGACGUCCGAUGCUUCCUCACGAGCGUCCGACAGAGUUUCCUUCUUGAUGUUCUUCAUCCUUUCGGACGUCCGAUAGCGUCCGACAUGAGUGCCCUGUUUUUACUUCUUCUUUUAUGCCACAAGAAUCUGUUCUAACAAAUUACUCGUAUAAAAACAUUAGCCCAAAUCUACAUUUUGGUUUGUUAAUCAUCAAAACCAAGGAUUGAUCGACCAAGGUCAACAGGUGUAAUAUUGGCCAAUUCAAGGAACUAAUCGUUCCUAAUUACAAUUAUAGUGUUAAAAAAAUCAAAAUUUCAAUUCAAAAUGAAAAAUUUAACUAAUUUAACUAUACUUAAACUAUUGACUAGCUAACUAAUUUAACUAUAAUAAAAUCAAAAUUUGAAUUCAAAAUGAAAAUUUUAACUAAAUUAACUAUGCUAAACUAAAACUAUUGACAAGCUAAUAGUAGAUGAUAAUUAGAAUUUAAUUGAGUGUUGACUAGCUAAUUAGAAUUUAAUUAGAAUUUAACUAAUUUAACUAUACUAAAACUGAUGACUAGCUAACUAAUUUAACUAUAAUAAAAUCAAAUUUUGAAUUCAAAAUGAAAAAUUUAACUAAUUUAACUAUACUAAAACUAUUGACUAGCUAAUAGUAGAUGAUAAUUAGAAUUCAAUUGAUUGUUAAAAAAAUCAGAAUUUAACUAUACUAACUUAGUUACUACCUAAGUUAUUAUAUGAGCCUAAAAAUUAGGAUAACUCAUAAAAAAAAAUUAUAACAUAUCAACGGAACAAUAAAAAAUAAAACAAAAUAAUCCUUUCCAAAUUAUCAACAAAAACCAUUUAGGCAUGACAAACCUAAUACAAUUAAUUAUCUCCCCUAUAAGUAUAUUUACUCCAGAUUCAAUAACACGUAUAUCAUUAUUAUAGACAAAUAUUCGCACCACAUGCACAUGAAUUUCCAUUUGGAUACCAUUACAUGCAUUGCAUUAUAAACAGAACCCUAAAAUUAUAGAUGCUAAGCUUAAACCUAGCCAUUGCCUUUUAGUGGGGCUUAUUGAAUCGGGUGCAUGUGAGUGGGUGCUGUUGUCGGUGAUUGCGUGGCGCUAUAUUUUGUAUAUGGUGCGUUGAGUCAUUGUCCAGCUGGCUGCUGCAUGGUACGUUUGGUCAUUGUUGAGCAAAUGCUGGAUUGAUCCGAGGUCGCUGGGUGACUGUGAUGUCAGUUUUAACUCUGUUAUUUUUCGCUUUCGGUUAGGCUAUAGGGAGCUUUCUUCUCUUCUUUCUUUCUGGUUCUCUUCUAUUUAUUAGUUUUUUAUUUAUUCUUUUGUAUGUGUUGCCCCAUAAUAACUAAACCCUGUCACGCCAUUGCAUCAGUAUUACCAUACAACACUCUUCUCAUAAAUAACACCAAAAUUAUAUAUACAUGUUAAACACAAACCUGGGCAGUGCCACGCCAAUGCGUGGCACCCCAAAACUAGUAUUUAUAUAAGUUAGGUUUAUAAGGGGAAAAGAGAAUAGCGAGUUUGAGAAUCAAAUUAUAGAUUUCACAGUCACCAAAUCUUAUUGAGUCCUCGGGACAGGACACGUUACGAGACAAAUUGGUGCCUUUAUUUUUGCCGAGGGGAUAAUUGGCUUUCUAUGAGAGUUUAAAUUUUUUUUUUAUUGCACCUCUGAGCAGAGAUUAGUCUCUUCCCUAAGUAAACAAACAAAUUGACAGUUCCCCUUCUAACAUUUCAGCUUGUGUAUUAGUACGGAUAGAGAAGGAAAAUAGAAUUCUCCAAUUUUACUCAUUAAAUUUUGUCUCUCUGCAGUGUAAGUUUCAGUAAAUCGACAUUCAUAGGUACAUACAGAUCCGGCUGGCAAAUUGUGCGAAGGGAUGUGACAUAUUGCCAUAAAGUGCAGUAACAUUUUCUUUUACGUGUAAAUGCAGAGUCUAGAGUCUCUCUUCGGUAUCAUAUUUUGAAGUUAUAUUCACCAAUUAGAUGGUAAACAUGGAAUAAGUAUUUUGACCUUUAGAUCAUCAUAGUUUGAGUCAUUUAAAAUAUGAAUCAAGAUUAGCAUUGAGAGAAAUAAUUUGGGAGAAUGUUUCCCUAAAGGAUUAUAGAAUUUUCUAUAAAGGUUAAUGUGCGAGCAAGGACAUAGAGAACUUUAAAUAAUUAUAGAAUUUUCAUCAUAGUGUUGAAAGCUCAGUAGUCGGGCCGGGUUGGGGCCUCGGGUCCGGAUCGCAGAGGAUUAGUCGGGCCCAUAAGCAUUGACCCGAACACCCCUGUGUCAAAAAAAAAAAAAAAAUUGAAAGCUCAGUAGCUCCGACCUGAAAUCCUUUGGCACAACAAAAGUAAAAGGCAUAGAGAUGAAUAGGACUUUUCCCCAUGAUUCAAGUUCCAAAGUGUUAGGAGCCUCGAUUGAAGAAGUCUUGAAGAGAAGAGAGGAUGAUUUUCUACUACCUGUUACCCAGGGGAAGAGAGGUAUUUAAUAGGGGUAGCAAUCGGGUGGAGUUCGGAUUGGCGGGUCGGGUUGAGGUCCAAGUAUAACAAAAAAAACUCCUGACCUGCCAAUCCGAAACGGGUCAGGAUACUUGACACGAAUCCGAAAAUUUCGGGUUACGGGUCGGCCAGAAACUUAAUUUUUAUUUAUUAAUUUAUCACUGUAAUUUCUAAUAAAAUUAAUUUUUCACAAAAUUAAUUACAUCAUCAAGUAAUAAAAUUUUAAAUAAAUAAUUUCAAACCAAAUCUAUAAUAAAUUAAAUACCGUAAAAGUGUUUUAUCUCAAACCAAAUAUAAAAUAUAUUAAAACAGCAUAAAAAUAAAAAAUAACAUAAUAUAUUAUUUGUCCAAAUAUAAUAAUUUUAACUCCACACAAGUUAAAUAAAUUCAUUUAAGAUUAAGUAAUUAAUGCCUUUGAAAAAAAAGAAUGAUUUAGUUUAGUUAGAUAAAAUAAUUUUAUGUUUAUUAAAUUAUUUUUAAUUCGUAAACGGGUCAUAUCAGAUCACCACAGGUUGACCCAAAAUCGACUUGUUUUCUUUUUGGGUUCAUCGAGUUCGACCCGAUUCUAACCCCAACCCCCGAAACCUCAACCCAAACCCAUUAAUUUCGUGUUGGUUCGUAUUGUAUUUUCGGGUCGUGUCAGGAAUUGCCACCCCUAGUAUUUACAGGGGAAGAGAGGUAUGUAUACUGGUUGAGGAGUUAUUAGCCAUUGGAAUUAGUUUUCGUAGCUUGACGUUAUAGGAUUUUCCAGCUUGGCACUACUUAUUACCUUAGAAUGUCAAAUUGAUUUAGAAUGUCACAUUAAUCACAUCAUAUCGUUUCUAAGCACUUUGGAUUAACUUCAUAUAUGUACGAGAAACUUAAACAAAUCAAGACAUGAGUUGAAGCCAAAGUCUAUGUGGAGAUCAUAUUAUUCCUUGAAGAAUAAAUAUUGAAAAUUUGCAUGCCAUUUUCUGUCCUUUUUUUAUUCUAUAAUGGCAAAUUGAAAAAUCAAAAAAAAAAAAAAGAAAGAAAGAAAGAAAACCUUUGGCUGUAAUGUAUAAUUUCAAAAAACCUUGGGGAUACUACUGAUUACUUAAUUUACCUGAAGCACCAUCGUUUUCACCUGCUCUGUUUCAAGAAGUUGACUGCGCCAGUUCACGUCGGACAUAAGUGUAAAUUGGCCAAAUAUUAGGGCUAUUUCUCAUAAAUUCGUCUCCUUGAUUUAAGUCUUUAGUUAAUAUUACCCAAUUUUCAAAUAAGGGGAAAAAAAUUAAAUACCAAAACGAAUCUCUCCCCUUUUCAAAUUGUCCCAAUUUCCCUCUUUCUAACGGCUAAUUUUCUUUCUUCCUCUCCCAAUUUCAUUUUCCCCUCUUGUCUCUCUCUCUCUCUCUCUCUCUGAAUCACCAAACCCUAACCCCUGUCCCCAGUCACCCACCUUCUCUCUCACACACUACACACAGUUUCUUCCACACUCUCUGCAGUUUCACUGUGUGCGCGCGUGUUUCUUUUCUUUUGUAUAAUUUUCACCAUUUUCCCCCGGAUAUGAAGCCAAGAAAUACAAUCUUGAAAGAAAACCACAGUCACCAGAGUGAAACGUCAGCGUUUGGCCUUCCGCCUCCGUCGUCUCCAAACCCUAGUUCGAUGAAGCAGAGAAUUCCAGGCGUUUCUGGCAGCAAUAGUAGUGGUCAUCGGAGACAGAAAUCGAGUAGUUCGAAGGAGAAUGCGCCACCGCAGAUGGCGGAUUUGAAUCAAGUUGCUGCGGUGGAGUAUUUCUCCCCGUCAGAUCCAAGAAAACCAUCGCCAUCGCCCAUGACAGUGGUGGCAGCGGCGAAGAUUAGAUCUCCACUUCCGCCUCGGCCUCCGCUUAAGAGGAAGCACAGUAUGGAGGCUUCGGGAUCUGAGAAAGGCCCAAAUCCGGCUUCUACUGAUUCUGGAGUAAAAGUAAGUUCUUAUUUUUUUUCUUUGUUUUCGAUGUUUUUGAAUUAUUAUUAGCUGAAAAAAGUAAGCUUGUGCUUAACUGGAGACUUUGGCUUGGAAUAAAACCUUCAGUCAUAGAAUUGAAUAAGCCUUUUCUUUUCAUGCAGAAAGAAGAUCACCGUGGAGUUGAGGGAGUAGGAGAUAACUCAUUUUAAUUCUAAUUUGUCAGUUCUAAAUUGCUGAUUCUCAUUUUUUUUUGUCAACAUUGUUUUCUGGUUCGCUGAGAUAUUGGAGAAGAUUCCAAAUUAGUUCAGUGGAAGAUUGUCAGUCAACCAGUUAGAUAGUUAAAUCCUUGUUCGGUAUUUUAUUUGCUUAAUCUUAAGUUUGUAUAGGAUUAAUGCUGCAAAAUUCUGGCCAAGUAAUUUGAAUUCUAGCGCUCAGAAACCUUUUUAUUCCUGUAAAGUUUAUAUAGUUGACAUAUUACUUCAAGUUAAAUAUUUGAACAACUUUAAUGCUUGUUUUUUUGUUGCUCUAAUUCUUUUCUCACUAUUGUAGGUUCCUAAAUUUGAUCCUAAUAAUUAAUUGCUGCUUAUUAUUUCUUUGGUGUUACAUAAUCCAGGUUAUAGUGCGAAUGAGGCCACUAAACAAGGAUGAGGAAGAGGGAGAAAUGAUUGUCCAAAAGAUCUCUAAUGAUUCUUUGUCAAUAGCAGGACACACCUUCACAUUUGACUCUAUUGCUGACUAUGAGUCAGCACAGGCAAGAUAUUCAGUUUGCUGAUACUUUUUAUUUGGAAAACUUAGAUAAUUUUCUGAAAAGAAAGUAUUCUUAAUUUUCCUUAUGAAUUUCAGAUUGAUAUAUUCGAGCUUGUUGGAGCUCCUCUUGUGGAAAAUUGCCUUGCUGGCUUUAAUAGCUCUGUAUUUGCUUAUGGACAGGUAUUCUUUAGUUAUUGACUUUUUUCCGCUGCUGCUGCAUCUAUGGAUGUGUUUUCUAUGCCCGAAAUUGCACUUGCUUACGCAUGAUUGAAAUUAGAUGAUGUUCUUUAUAUUAUGUCACUGUGACUUUUAAUUAGUGAUUAUCACAAACUAAAUUGACAGACGGGUAGUGGAAAGACUUAUACAAUAUGGGGACCAGCCAAUGCCUUAGAAGAAAAUAUAUCAAAUGAUCAACAAGGCCUAACACCUCGUGUUUUUCAGCGGCUUUUUUCGCGAAUUAGUGAGGUAAAAGUCCUUCUUCCACUGAAAUUUAAGUGAUUUGUUUCUUUGUACUUCCUGUACUUAAACUAAAUGGAGAUUCUGUUUUUCUGUGUUAGGAGCAAACUAAGCAUGCAGACAGACAGCUCAUGUAUCAGUGUCGAUGUUCUUUUCUUGAGGUUAAGCAACCUUAUCUUGACUUGUCCAUGGAGUGAACCAUUUUCACUAUACUUACUUUGUGACAUUUGCAUACAGAUUUACAAUGAACAGAUAACUGAUUUAUUGGAACCCAGUCAAAAAAACCUUCAGGUAAACAUGUCAAACAAUUCUCUUCCUAUGCAAAGGAGGAUCCAGUUGUUGUAAUUCACUUCCUACUGGUUCUGAACUUUUGUUACCAAUCCAGAUCAGAGAAGAUGUUAAAACUGGUGUUUAUGUUGACAAUUUGACUGAGGAAUAUGUGUCCACAAUGAAGGAUGUAAUACAGCUUUUGAUUAAGGUAUGUUCACUUUCUUCACCUGUUUUCUAUGAUAAAUUAUGAAGAAAUGAAACUUACCAUAUCUGUGGUUGAUGUUAUUUAAGUUAAGAUGAUCUAGAGGCAUCUGAUGGUGUAAAUUGAGGGACAAUUAUUAUUGGGAAACUUGCUAGGAAGGACCAAUUUUCUGAUCACACAACCAUAUAUUGAGUUCUAUCCUUUUCUGAUUGCCAACAUGGGGAACAGAAGUACUUGUAGUAAUAUCCAGGAGUAUCUUACAUAACUUUGAACUAUUUAUUUGCUAUGACUUUUAUUCUGGCAGUUAGAAGUGAAAGAUGAGGAAGACUCUUAUAUUUUCUUCUGAAGUAUGGGUUCUAUUUUUGUCCUUUAGUUAUUCUUUUCCUACUUUGGACAAUUUAUGAAAUAUCAAGGUGAAAAAUGCACGAGUCUUUAGGAAACUUAAUUUACUUUUUUCGGCUAUAUUUUCCUGCAUGUUUAACGUAAAGUAUGCUUUUCGGUUCCUAAAGUAAUAUUUGAACAAUUCUUUUCUAUAUAUGUGCUUAAGUGCAUUAACACAAUCUACGUAUACAUUAUCUCAGUAAAAGAUCUAGAUCUGACUAACACAGAGAAGAACAGUUUGACAAUCUUAGCCUUAGUUAGUAGGUCAUAUCUGGCUUCGGCAUCCUUCAAUUGCAUAGGCUUGUUUAAACCUUUCCAGGGAUGUAUCAUACUAAUUUUGCUGCUUCUUGGGUAUCAUAUUGGAGGAUGAAAAAUAAUCUGCAGCGACUGUUAAUUUAAUGAUUUACUAAAUGUUUGCAGGGAUUGUCAAAUAGGAGAACUGGCUCCACUAGUAUAAACGCGGACAGUUCACGCUCCCAUAGUGUAUUUACUUGUGUUGUUGAAUCACGAUGCAAGGUGAUUGACUCCUGCACCGAGCCUUCGCUCUAUUAUCAUUUCUUUUUCUUCUUUUUUUUUUCCUUAUCAUUUCUUUUCUCUACUAUCAUAUUAUCAUGAUCAGCACUUUACAAUUUAUGCUCUCUGAUUUCUAGCUAUGCGUUGAUUUGUGCAGAGCAUCUCUGAUGGGUUAAGCUGCUUGAAAACAAGUAGAAUAAAUCUUGUUGAUCUUGCUGGAUCUGAAAGACAGAAGCUCACAGGUGCAGCAGGAGAGCGCUUGAAGGAGGCUGGAAAUAUUAAUCGAUCUCUUUCACAGCUGGGGUAAGACUUCGCAAUAUGUUUGUCUUCAGUUCUUGGAUCAUCACUUACAUUGUCAACGUUGGUUCCUUUAAGUUGAGCACUACCUAACCACCUUUGGUUUACUUCAUUUAUCUAUUAUAUUUGUUCUUUAGUUUAAGUGUGUGUCCAUUUGCUACCUUUGGUCUGUCUACAUGAUAGAUAGUACACUGUCAUAACUGUGUACUUUUCCUCAAUAAUAAUAUGUUACAAGCCAAAUUGAGUCUAACAGAAAUCAAUACAGGCAGUGGGCUUGUAUAAAUACAAGAGCUUUGUCCUUGUUCCUUUAUAACUUGUCUAAGGCUUCAUUGAUCCCACAAAGUAAUACAUCUCUGCUACUGAAGCUACUAUUGUGAGAAUGCCCUUGUUUGGAAAAACGUAUGUGGCUCAGCUUAAUAGGAAUUUGAUGCUUAGUUUAUCAUGCUGAAAACACAAUUUAUGGAAAAUAAAUUGUCUCCAUGUGGAAAAUAAAGGCUUUGACAAAAAAAACACAACUCAUGCUUAGUCUCCAUGUGGAAAAUAAAGGCUUUGACGGAUGAACUGUUAACAAAUUUUUGCAAAGGUUAAUUUAUCUCUUUUUCUUCAUUGUUAUUAUUUCUAAUUAUGUCAGGAACUUAAUAAACAUUCUUGCGGAGGUUUCACAGACAGGAAAGCAGAGGCACAUCCCGUACAGGGAUUCCAAGCUGACAUUUCUGUUGCAGGAAUCUCUCGGAGGAAAUGCAAAACUUGCAAUGAUAUGUGCUAUUUCUCCAGCACAAAGGUGUAAGAGUGAGACCUUUAGCACACUAAGAUUUGCACAGCGUGCAAAGGCAAUCAAGAACAAGGCAACAAUUAAUGAAGAAAUGCAGGAUGACGUAAAUGUGCUUAGGGAAGUCAUCAGGCAGUUGAAGGUACAAGGUUUUUCUGCCUUCAGACAUCUUUUAGUGAGAGUGAAAUACAUUUUUAGAAUAGCAACCAAUUACAUAUUGCAACAGUGAGGUUUGGCAAUGCUGAUGCAAUUUCUGUUUUUCCAUGAAAAAAAAAGGAUGAACUGCUGCGCAUGAGGGCCAAUGCAAAUCAGACUAACCAAGAUGGAAAUUAUUCGAAAGGGUGGAAUAUUAGAAGAAGCUUGAAUCUCCUGAAUUUUAGCCGUAAUUGUGCAAUGGCUUUACGUCAUGGAGAUGAUGAUAGUGAUGAGGAAAUGGAAAUUGUUGACCAAGAUGAAGAACUUCGUCUCCAAUCAGCUGGUGAUGAGCAAAGCAUUGGUUUGGAUGUCAACCAACCAGACUCUGUAAUAAAAACUGCUCAGCUUGUGGGCUUUGAUGAUGGAAUGUGUGAGGGACCACAAUGUAAGACAUCUAGUGGAGAACCAGUUCUGGAGGACGAUGUUAACAUGGAAGAAGUAGAUGAACAAGUGGACAAGCACGAAGUCAGUGGUGUAGUAGCAAACUUGCCAGAUUAUUCCAACUCUCAGAAACAAAAUUACGAUAACUGCAGUGAAAGAAAUGCUGAAGAUAAUCUGAUCACCUCACCAGUCAAUGGACUUGACAAAAUUUUGUCUGAACGGCCUAAUGAGGAAAAUGUUGACAUUUCUGUCUGGAGUUCACGGAAUGAUGAUCUAUCAAGAAGACUAGCAGUGGAAGAAACAUCAAAGAAAUUUGAGUUGGACAACAAACUCAACGGCACACCUUGCACAUCUCCAACAUGCUUUGAGGAGGAUACAAAAGCUUCCACUGAUCUCAGCAUUGUCCCAUGCAAUGUGUCUCCACCUCUAAAAUCUCCAACUCCAAGCGUUUCACCGAAAGUUAUUAAUAGUAGUAGGAAAAGUCUAAGAACUUCAUCGACACUAACUGCUUCCUGCAAAGAUUUGGCUAACGAUAACUUGGAGCCGGAACCUCCAUGUUUAUCCUUUGCAAAGCCCUCAAAUAGCAUCUGUCUAAAUAUGUCAGGUCAAAGACGUAGAAGUUCCAAACCAACUCAGCAAUUGGCUGCUAGUCUCCAACGUGGCCUUGAAAUUUUGGAUGGUCGUCAUCACCAAAGUGCAUCUAUGAGGAGGUCCACUUUCAGAUUCUCAAACAGAUUUGCUGAUGUCAAAGGACUUGUGCCAACUGCCAAAGUUGAUGCCGGUGUUCAAACACACAUUUCUGAAACUGAAUCAGUGCAAGAGCACUCAAUUUUGACUUUGUGCAGCAAAUGUAAGAGGAGGAAUUCCCAUGAAGAACUUAAAGAUGCCAAUGAUAGCUCGAAUUUGCAGCUAGUUCCCAUCGACGGACCACAAUCCAGUGACAAGUUCAAGACACAGGUUCCAAAAGUAUGUCAUGAUUUGUAAGGUCUUAUAGUGACGGCUAACAAUUGUGUUCUUCUAUUAUUGCCUGUCAAUUUCACUUCUAUUGUCUUCCAGGCUGUUGAAAAGGUCUUAGCAGGAGCAAUACGCAGAGAGAUGGCACUGGAAGAGAUAUGUGCAAAACAAAAUUCUGAGAUCAUGCACCUUAACCGGCUGGUAGGUUAGGAUAAUAAAUUAGAGCCUUACAAAACUAAGGAGCUUAUUCUUAUUCUUCCCAUUUUGAAUCCUUAACUAGGUCCAGCAAUACAAACAUGAGAGAGAAUGCAAUGCAAUAAUUAGUCAAACACGGGAAGAUAAGAUUUUUCGCCUUGAGAGCCUCGUGGAUGGUGUCCUACCCACUGAAGAGUUCAUGGAGGAUGAAUUAUUGUCUCUGACUCAUGAGCACAAGGUUUUGCAGCAUUUGAGACAUACAUAUUGCAUUUACAGGCAACAUAUUAAUAUGGUCUUCUCUUCUCAUGUAUAUCUUUCCACCUUGUACUUUGUACUUGCAGCUUCUGAAGGAAAAGUAUGAAAACCAUCCAGAAAUUUUAAGGACAAAAAUUGAGUUGAAAAGAACUCAAGAUGAGUUGGAAAGAUAUCGAAAUUUCUUUGAUUUGGGUGAGAGGGAUGUUUUACUGGAAGAGAUCCAAGACUUGAGAAACCAACUGCAGUUAUAUGUAGAUACUUCGCCAAAAUUGUCAAGAAAAAGAAGUCCUUUAUUACAGUUAACAUAUUCAUGUCAGCCUAGCUUGGCUUCAACUUUGUGCACAGCUCCAGAGUCCAAGGAAGAGAGCGCAGAAGAAAGGCUUGAACAGGAAAGGGCUCAGUGGACUGAAGCAGAGAGUAAGUGGAUUUCUCUGGUUGAAGAAUUGAGAUCAGAACUAGAAGUUAGCCAGGCACUACUGGCAAAGGAAAAGCAAGAACUAGAUUCAGAGAAGAAAUGUUCAGAAGAGCUGAAAGAAGCAAUGCGGAUGGCAAUGGAGGGACAUGCUCGCAUGCUUGAACAGUAUGCUGAACUUGAAGAAAAACACAUGCAGCUACUUGCGAGGCAUAGGAAGAUUCAGGAUGGAAUAGAAGAUGUCAAGAAAGCUGCUGCCAAGGCAGGAAUAAGAGGUGUGGAAUCUAAGUUCAUUAAUGCUCUUGCUGCAGAAAUUUCAGUGCUCAAGGUUGAAAGGGAAAGGGAGAGGAGAUAUUUCUGGGAUGAAAACAGAGGUCUUCAGGCUCAACUAAGGGAUACUGCUGAAGCUGUACAGGCUGCUGGUGAAUUACUUGUACGGCUUAAAGAUGCUGAAGAAGCAACUGCUGUGGCUGAGGUGAGUUUGCAAUUUACAUUCUGAGUUGACAUUUUCCUCUCAUUUUUCCUUGGUGCAUGGAUCAUUUCUCCUUGUUUCUCCUUUAUUGGCAUCAUUGGAAGGUACAUUUAGAAAUUGUGCUAAGUUGUCCAGAGUGAUCUAGGCACGCACCAAGUUUCUUAGCCUUCUACCAUGGCUCUUCAACAUUGCCUUUAUUUUACAGUGAGGUUCUCUGGGAGUCCCUUGACCCAUCCAGCAGGAUACUAAUUCUAACCAAAGGGAAAAAAUCCUCAAGAAGAAAGGAAGAAAAGAAAAUGUGACCUUUUUUUCAUCUUUUAUCAAAUGGGUGUUGAACUCUGGAUUAUGAGUAGAUACUAGUGAGGUUUCUUAAUGUGUUUUUUUCUUUUUUCUUAUGCGUUUCUUGUUAUUAGUAUGAUCCUUUUUGAUGUAAUGUGCAUGCAUAAAUGGUGGAGGUGGUGGUGAACUAGAUUUGACAGGAUGAUGCAACAUUUUUGGUGCAUAAUGAACAGAUAGAAUUUACCAAAAAAAUAUAGCGAGUUUUUUUUCAUUGAGGCUAGCUCUUUUAAAUGCAUUAUCAGUGUUUGUGGUUCUUAUUAUUUUACCUAAACAAUACUUCUGCUCCAAAUGCUUUUCUUCCUUCUUUUCAAGCUUGCACCAUUAUCCCUAUUACUUGUACAUGGCUGGAAGCAUAUGACCUCAAGCUAUGGCAGAUUAGGAGGUGCAUCAUCUGUUCAGAGUAGCUUUUCAUUUGCCAUUAUUGAUAUCACAAAAUGAAAAUGAUCAAAAUGCACAAUGAGUGACUAAAUUAUUAUAUGUAUUGGUUUUCCGCACUGAAUUAUUUGUUUUUCCGAAGUGGUCAUUCAACUUCUGAUAUUAAAUUUCUAAUUAUUUCAUCCAAUUUACCUGUUGUUCUUAAUGAAUAAAUAAGACCUUGAGUAGCACAUGGAGCCUUUAAGUGUAAAUAUGUUAAAUAACAUCUGUUCUUCCCCAACCCAAGAUAGUGUGGGAUUUUUUCUUUCCAGUUCAACAAAUGCCUAAUUGGUGCAAAAAGAUUCUGGCAUUUACACUGACCCCAAAAGUAUAACCCACCAGACAUAAAUUUCAUAUUCAAUUUAGAUAGGGAAUUAAUAAUGUCAAACUCCUAGUGGUUUUUUUCUUUUUCUGAUAAACUACCACAAAUUUGAAAAAUGCACUAUAGGCACAUUAAAAUCAGGCGUUGGAAGAAGGAUCUGUGUGUGGGGUUAGUAAAGAAGGUGUAAACGGCAUUGGGUUAAGCUAUUUUCAGAAAGAAAGAGUGAGAACCGGUCAUGAGGCUUUCAGGAAACAGAUUGAGAUUCCUUUGCUGGGGGUUGGUGGACUGGCUGCUGUGAAUUGGUUGGAAGAGAGAGAGAGGGGAUUAAGGAUGCAGGGUAGAGUCGAACGGAUUGCUCUGUUUCUGUGGAUGAAAUGCCUCUCAGUUUCCCUGGAGAUACCAGAACUUGGCAUUGUCAAUUGUUGUGAUGGCUUAAUGUGCACAAGUGUCUGAGUUUCAAUACCAGUUUAGCAAGGAAAAUAAUCAGUUGGUAGUUAGUUGUUCAUUUUGGGCUUGGAUGUUGUUUUCUGGGGACGAGGGAAGGUUGAAUUCGUAUACUGUUACAUUUUCAUCUUACAGGAUUGUGACAUAUUAAGUACCUAAGCUACAUAGUGUUUCCUUUUAUCAUCAGAAUCAUUACGCAUGUUGUUAAUUAGACAUAUUGAUUUCUUUUUUGUGCUGGUAAUUGAUAUUUACCUCCUUUGUUAUAUUUGUUGGGUAUUUGACCUUACUGAUGUUCCCUUCUAGAGAAUACUAAGCUAACAUGCUGCAUGUUUGAGCUCUGAACUUAUUAUCAUUUAUGAUUUGUGGAUUUGAUUUACAUCCACAAUCAUUCUAAUUAAUUUUAUGAAUGUGCAGAAGCGAGCCACAGAAGCACAGCAAGAAACUGAGAAAGCUUACCAAAAGAUAGAAAAAUUGAUGAGAAAACAUGAAGAGGAGACCCGUGUAUUCAAUCAGUUACUUGCAGAUUCUCAUCUACCUAAAGAAGCAGUAAAGCCUGUCUACGAUGUAUCUGAACUGGCAACAGGUGAUGCUGGAGAGACACAGAGUACAGGUGAGCAAUGGCGUGAGGAGUUUGAACCAUAUUAUAAUGCCGAAGAAGAGGAGUUGUCUAAAUUAGAACCAUCUUCAUGGUUCUCUGGGUACGACCGAUGCAAUAUUUAGGCAUCUUACCUUUGCAAUGCCAAUGUUGUAUGUAGUAAUAAUAGCUUUGUUUAUACAGAUCUUAAAGUGUGUUGUUGAUUUACACAUGUAAUUCAAGUUGUCUCACCAAUUGUGAAGUCAAUUACAACUCUGUUGGGAAAGAAGAUAUAAAUGAUAUAUUCCAUUUCAUUCUUUCACUCUUCAGCUCUGUACUUGCUCAUACAUUUCGUAUGCUCUCUGUAUCACACGACAGAGCGAAGCUAAUCAGCAAAUGUGUAGCUGCAUCUGUGACUUUAAGCCUACAUUCAACUUUUUACCAUUAGAAUCUUUACAAAGUUUAGCUCUCAGUGAAGGUGAAAAUGGAGAAAUGGAAUGCUUCAAACAGAAUGCAGUGCUAAUGGACGUGGGAAAGCAAGGCCUUCUGCAAUUUUUGUACCGUGGCGAUUUCUAUAGUAAAAAGGCCUAAGUUCUGAACCAACAAGCUUUGAUUGCACUCUAAUUAUGUGGUCGCUCAGGGCUUUUUAUGAUUCCCCAUAUGAAAGGAAGAAUUUUGUAAAGAGAUUUGAAUGGAUAGGGUGGUCCUAGCAGUACAGGUAAGUGGGCCUGUGGAAAGAUCUCAAAAGCAAAAACUGAAGUUUGCUAGCAGCUUAGAUCAUUUAUUUGUUUGGUUUAUGUGUCAAGAGGAUGGGGGGCAAUCUUCAAGUGGAUGAUAGGAGUAUUCUUGGCUUCUAAGCGUGAAGAAAAACUAUGGAAACCGAAUGCAGACAGGCCACAAGUACUUGUUCACUUCGGCAGCCUCCUGAUUGUAGGAGUCUAUCAUGUCAUGAAGACCAUAAGACAAGAGGCUUGUGGCAUUGUCUUCCAUGACUAGUAUCUCUCCCUACCAGUGGACCAUCUGAUCAGAGGCAAAUUAUAGCUAAGAGAAGAUGGGAAAAUGAAGCAGACGAGGGCAAUUCAACCCGAGCCAUUCAAUUCUUGGAUGGGAAUGAAAUAUAUCCAAUUUUCCUUUAUUGCAGGAGGACAAGAGAAUAACCUGUCAUACCCUGAUUCAAUGGUGGAAAUGGUUUUGAAAGUGAUAUUCUCACAAUGCCAACCAUUACACUCCAAAGGAAGGAAGAAAAAAAGAAAAGAAAAAAGUGUUUUGUAUAUGAAUAUAUAGAGAUCUUUGGUGAAUCAAAUUCUGGCAUACCCCACAUAUGAGUUAGGUGAUGCAAAUAAUGAAUGUAACGAAUAUCUGUCAAGGCGAGGUUCGUGAUAUUGGUAAGGGCCAUUCUCGGUCUACGGCCGUAGACAAAUUUAAUCUUACCAAUUCCCUGCAUCUGAAUAUCAAAAAGUUUUGUUCACAUUCUUGGAAUUUUAAUUUUAGACCUUUCAACUUAUGAUGUACAUGCACACAAUACAAAAGAAAGAACAUUAUCAGUGUAUAUCCUAUCACGAUUGGAUACGUGACACAUGAGCUAAUUUCAAAUUUUGUACAUGUGUUAUAUAUCUAAUGGUGAUGAUAGUGUGUACAUUUAUAGUGUAUAUAAAAUUAAUCGAUACAAUUUUGUGAAACUACUAAUCUGUAGAAAAAUUUACUUUGAUGGGUUAUUCUAAUGAAACCCAGAACUUGAUUCAAAAAAAAAAUUCAUAAGAGAGUCAUGAUCUUUAUCUAAAUGUCAUUCAGAAGAUUUAAUAAAGGCACAUUGCAUAUUUGCUGUAAUUUCAGACUUGUUGUGGGAAAAAAAUUUUGCAUGCCUAUUGUAUAGUAUUAAUUAGCUGAUGAUAUCAAUAAUGAAGAUUGAGACUUCUUCCUGCACACAAAUGAUUCUUGCCAAAGGACAGCAAACUGUACAAGAAAAUGAUAUAUAGUAUGGUCCAAAAUCAUCAUCUUUUGCAGCUUAAAUGUGCAUUUGCCAUGCCUUUUGAUAUUUUGUUUAGCCCAAAAAUAUCAUAUCCCCUGUUUAGUACUUAUAAAAUUAUCUAAUUUUUUAAACGGGCCAUGUAAUUACUAGUUCUAGAGGGUUUGGAGAUCUUGGUGAGAUUUGACAGAAUAUAGCACAAUAUUGUAUAAAGUUGUGUGAUAAUUACAUUACAUUACUGAUUACACUACAUUACUGUAAGAAAAUUAACUGCGGUAAUUUUAUAGUAAAAACAAAAUGAAAUAACACAUCAUUGUUGCAAAUUCACACACUAGUUAAACAUGAUGGUAAAGGAAUUACUGCAGCAAAUCACACACUAGUAAAACAUGAUGAUAAAGCAGUUUACUCUCACCAAAACUUCAAUUAUGGUCUUUUCAAGGCAUCUAUUUGUUAGUUAGAGGCAGUUAAUUAUUGUUGAGUGGGGGCUGCAUGAUCUGAUUUGUGAAAUCAAAAUGAUGAUGAAUGGUUUUUCACAGCCUGUCUUUCCUCUCAUCCUAAUCAAAAUCAUACCAACCAGUGUUAAGGCCAAGGCUUCUUAAGCUGAAAGAAAGGGACAUAAAGUGAAAAGGGUGGGUGUGAUAUGUACACCAAUGUGAAGAAGAGUGACAGGCUGGAAAUUGGACCCCCUUCUAAUGAUAAGUUUAUUUUUAACCCCACCAAGAGAACACAUUCCAUCCUACCCUCUAUCAAUGUGGACCAAUUUUCUUCACAAUGUCAGGAGUAAAAUCAGGGAAAACCAUAAGAAAAUGCAAGUCCUUGAUGUUGAAGUCAAAAAUCAACUGUUUUUUGCUCUGUUGAUUUGUUGUUAGGUUGACACCCUCAAUAAAUUUGAUAAAUUUGACUGUAGAUUUUCCUCUCCUGUUUUUGUUUUCACCAACCAUAUUGACUUUUUUUUUUUAGGAUUCUAAGAGGAGAUUCAUUACCAUACUUGCCAUCCUUUUAUUGCCUUUUUACCUUGACUUUCUUGUUGAUGGGAAUCUUGUCUAACCAAUCCACUAGCCUCUUACAAAAGUUAAUAAUUACCUGUGGGUAGAGAUUAGAAAAACUUUAGGAAAAAUUAUCAAAGAGUAUGAGAGAAAAGAAUUCACUUAUUCUCUUAGGUUAUAUAGACAUCAUACACCAAUUACUUCUUUCUGUCUGUAAAAUCUAGGGAAUCCAAAACAAACAAACAAAAAAAAAUGUUAGUCCAAAUUGCUGGUGUAGCUGUCUUCCAUCAGAAAUUUCUAUGCUGGGCUAAAACCAAUUGUACUCUCUUCAAGGUUUAAAGAGAAAACACAUACUAAAAGGAAACUUCUGGUAAAUCAUUGACAGUUGAGAUGUAUUUAUCAAAUGUUUGGACAACUUUCUAUCUAAUCUGUCCUCAACAAAAUUUGGAUUAUCAUUCCACUUGAACGAACAAUUACUGAUAGUGGGCGUAAGUUUUCAUUGUAAAUAGCUCUUUCAAAAUCGACUUUGCAAAAUGGCUUUAAGAUACGAAAAAUACGUUUGACACUAAGAAUAAUUUCAUACUCUUGGAAACUUUUUUUCACUAUUUUUCUUUAGUUCACAGAAAUUAGAUCAUUUAGGGAGAUUUUUUAUAUAUUUUCUGUAGACACAUUUUCUAAUCACUUUUUGAUCUCGUAUAUCUCAAAUCGUUACAGUAUAUUUUUCUGUAAAAACUUCAAAAAAUAGCAAUCCAAACGGGAUCUCGCCUUUUCUCAUUUUCAGUUGGUAAUGGUAAGAGGGUAGAGAAACAAAAAGGAAAAUUGAGUACGUGAUUAACCACAAAAAAAAAAACCAAUAAAAAAAAGAGUGAAAUGGGCUGGAAAAAGAUGGGAAUAAACGAACACAAUAAAAUUUCACAGAAACUGUGCAAAAUACUAGACACUGUUUUUUUGGGGUUUCUUCAAAACAUGGUAUCCUUUUCUUUUCCUGUGGUACAAAAUGCAAUUUUCAUACAAAAAGCAACUUUGUAAGAAGAACAUAUUCAUCAGUCUCCAAAGAAGUCAAGGUAAAGGCUGCACAUUAUUUUUCUUGUCAUUUAUAAAAGUUUUUUUUGGUUUCUUUGGCAGCCCCUUAAUGGAGGAAAGGUUUUGUCUAAUCUUUAAAUAGUACCUGUCUCCAUCUAAAAUCCACUACUUUAUUCUUCUACUUAUCCACUGAACUUUCUUUUCCAUUACUUUGUAAAGUAGAUUGAUUUUCAAAUGUUCUCUGAUUCCUUGGCCAAGUCAUAACUUCAUUACUGCCAACCUGGAUUUACAAUGCUCCCAUCCAUCAUUCCCAUUAUAAAACACCAACAAAAAGGUUACUUAGGAAAAAAUCAACUAUCUUUGCUGUCUUGUACCAUUUAUAAUGUUCUUUUAUUCUCAGAGGGUGAAAAUUCCCCUCCAAGAACUGUCAGAGGUGUGCACUAAAUUAACCCCUCAAUCAUGCAAAGUAGAAUAAUCAUGCACAGCCAUCACAAAGAAACAAAUGUUCUUGGCAUCAAUUGUCCCAAGAAUGUCAAAAGUGAAUGAUUGAAUUCAAAUCUUCUUUUCACCAUUUCAGUAUCAGUAAAAGAUGGGCUUCUUUGUCUUAAUUAUGGGCACAAACACAAGUCCAAAUGGACAAAGUCUCCACAAUCAGCGAGAUUAUACGAAAAACCCAAGUAUUUCUUCUUCUUUUUUUCUCCUUUUAACCUUCUUCUUCCCCCCUAAUCCCUCCCUACCCCAAAUCCUGACAGCCAAGUUUGAAUCCUGAUCUGUCAGAUGGGACGAAAUCCAAGUAUGUCAAUAGGUGAAAACAUUCUAAAUUUCUAGAGUGACUAAAAACUAAUGGACAAGUAUGGUUAAAUUCAAGUACUAUUAACUCUUAAAUAAUUGAGUGUGUUUGGGUACUAUUAACUCUUAAAUUCAAGUACCAUUAGCUCUUAAUUAAGUUAGGAAAGUUGAGGGACUAGAUAAAGAAGAAUAAUGUCUGGUGGGCACAUAUGAAAAUGAAUAAAAGCCACAAACUUGUAGGGUACUGGCAUAUAAUUUAGCCUCUCUUCCAUCCAAGAUGACACUUGAAAGUUGAGGCCAGGACACUAAAAAUCUUCAUCAGAUUAGACUACAAACAGUGAAUUAGAGGGGUUGUCAAAGUGCCUUUUGGGUCCAGCUCAAGUGUAGUACAACUAUUACAACUACAAGUACUGUCAACAUAUAACUUAAAUCAACCAACUGGACUCAAGUGACAAUUUGUCCCCACUAACAGCUGGUUACAAAUAAGAAUCCAGUCCUCCACAAGUCACGCGAUUUAAGGUUAAAAUCAUAUAUUAUUAUGUCCUACAAGCAAAACUUUUCUUGAUUAAGACAUAUGCUGGGGAAAAAAAAAUAUUUAAAGCAAUACAGGAAUUCCCAUCUGCACCUAUCUGUCACCACUUAAUUCAUAUUGACAAUAAUGAAAUAACGCUUUUAUGAUGAUAUCUUUUGUGGUUUAUUUCCAUUCGAGGAUAAGGUCCAACAAGAAAGCUUUAGGGUCUAAUUUUGCCAAUUAUCCACCCAUAGUAGUUACACUUGCUAGGGUUAUUUAAAUAGGUUCCAAAUGGUAUGUCAUUAGUGCAAUUGAACUUGCUGUUUAAAUGCAAAUGCACACACUUUUUUUUUUCCAUUUAUAUGUAGACAUUUUGCCAACUUAACUUCAAUUAUCCACCUAUAUUAAUUAAACUAGCUAGGGGUUAUUCAAAUGGUCUGUUUUUAGUGUGCCAAAUUUGUUUUUUAACUUAAUUGUUUGAAUGCAAAUACUCACACCUAUUAUCCAUUUAUAUUUAGGCAUUUUGCCUAACUUAAGUUUAAUUUUUUUAAAAAAAAAAAAGCUAAUAAUAAUGUUCAUUUUAGGCAUAUCCUCAAAAUUCUUAUAUAUCCCACUAAAAAAAAUUAAAAGUUCUUGCACAUAUCCUCAAAAUUAAAUUUUUGUCCCCCUAAGAUAUUUGAAAUCAUUUUAUCUCCCCUUAAAAUGUCAAAAGUUUUCAGUUAAAUCCUUCUAAAUAUUAUGCUUUACCCCUGAAGUUCUUUGCAAAAUGCAAGCAUGCCCCCCAUUAAAUACAACUUCUUUUACUAGUUUUGCCUUCCCAAAUUUCAACCUCUAGUUUUGCCCUUGUUGACAAACUAGCAAAUAACUCUAUCCAUUUGUGAGUAAUCUAGGUGAUUGCUAUAUUGUUAGUUGGUUAAAAGUAACUGAUUACUGCUCCCAAAUGGAGGUAAUUAGCAGCAUUAUCCAAAACAUGAGGCUUUGUUAAAUUGUCUUGCGAAAUUGAGCGCAAUUAACAAAGCAAAAUCAGAAUGGGGAUUUCUUUCUUCUUCUUCUUCUUCUUUUUUUCAAAAUUGACCUCUGAUGAGACUAGUGAUUUUUCAAGACUGAAGAAAUAAAUGAAGAAAUGGAAAAAAAAAGAAAAAAAAAAGAGCAACAAUCAGGGAGAAGCAAAGGAGGGAAUAAAUGAUACAUUACAAUAAAUAAAUUAGUCAUUAAAUUCUGAAUGGUAAGAGAACAUGUAAAAAAAGGUUGCAAUAAUAGGAUACAUAAUCUAGCUCCCCUCUUAUCUGCCCUUCAACACAAUUCUCACCAUGCUACAGCAUGUUACACUGGCCACUACAGUGCAAUUAGUUCUUGAAUUUUACAAGGGAAUGUAAAUAUUCUCCAAAAAAAUAUAUCUGAUGAAAUAAAUAGCCAGAUACAAAAUCAGAAUGGAGGAGAAAAAUUGAUUUUCUCUUCAAUUGGAUCCAGUUUGUUUGAACUGCCACAUAUGCCUAUGUACAGAAGCCUCUCUCACUCGGGGCUUCAAUUGAAAUCAAUAAUGCUGAUAAAUAUCUUUCAUAGCUCAACCUUCAUUUGAGCUGUGGGCAUUAUACCUGCAAUUUAACAAGCCGCAGAUUAAGAAUUUGCAUUCAAACUAUUCAAUCUUGACUUGACCAUGUAAAUUUGAGAUUUUGUUUCUUAAAGAAAAGCAUCAAAUCAAUUAACUAACCAUGAAAAUUCUGUGUCUGAUUUUGGCCAAAACCCAUCUGGACAACAGUAUGGAGAUCGUCCUCCAAGAAAGAUGGAAUCUGAAAAACAUUAAAUUGACCAACAAUUUUUAGGAAUCAAGAUCACACAUUUCUUCAUUCUCUUCCAGUGAAGAAUUCCUUCAUUACCUGAGAAGCUGCUUCACCAAAAUUAUCCAAAGGUGGCAAAUGAAUGCCUUGAUUUCGACUGAUAGCAGCAUUCAGAUGGUUCAUUGAGAAGGGAACAUCUUGGCCAUUAGGAAUGGCAGCACUUGGCAAAUUUGUCCCAUUUUGAGGUUGCAUUGGAUAAGGGAAUCCUGCUGCUGAGGCCUCUGAUGAAUACAUGUUAUGAGGUAAAGAUCCACGAGAAUGUAGGACCUGAAUUUGAAUUUGUUAUAAGAUGAAGAUGUUUAAGGGCAGAUUCUAAAGUUGAAGUUUACGGACAGAAAAAAUGUACCGAAAAAUAGUACAACUUACAUCCUUGGAUACAAGUGCUUCUGCAUUAAAUUCCAUUCUUGGAUUGAUUGUUGCUAAUUUCAUUGAAAGAAACUGCAAGAUCAUAACCAGUUCAACAGGUUAGAAAAAUUCAAGAAAGAUCUUAUUCAGCAAAACUCAGCAUUAUUUAGUUAGGAAUCAGGAUAUAUAAUUCACCUCAACUUGGCGUUGCAGAGAUUGGACAUAGUUUAUGAUCUCAUCAAGCAUAACAGCUUUUCCAGUCACCUAUAACGGAAGUUCAAGAAACUAUUUAAAAUUCUGCACUUUUUACUGUUUUUGUCAGAAAAAUCUGAAGUACUAGUGAUUUGUUUCCAGAAAGCUGCAAAGUUAGCAUCCUCUGAAUUACCUUAUUGCAACCAGGCACAAGAUCUUGUAAGAGCUUCAUUCUUUCACUGAUUUUCUCUCUUCUAACCUGCAAGGUUAAGAUCCAAAAAGUGAUCAGUAAGUUGAGAUCUGACAACAAAAAGAUUCGAGUAAAAAUGGUUAAAAUAUCAUUAUUGGUAUAAUUCAUACUCUUUCAGCUAGGCUAUGUGCAUCAGUAGCCUGGCCCCUUCUGGCUCUAACAUGAAUAUAGUCCUUAGGGGCCUCUGGUGGCUUAGAAUUCUCCUUGUUUUGUUUCUGAUUUCCAUCCCCUGCAGCUUUGUCAGUGCCAUUUGUGUCUGCCAUGGCUUUUGUGGCAUCUUUUUCAUCUGCAUUUUCUUCACCUGACUUGCUUCGUUUUGCAUUUGAUUCAUUACUUUCAGAUGCACCCUGCAUUUGAUAAACUCUAUUUAGUUUCCAAAAGCAUAGUGAAAUAUACAAAAUUGAAGAAUUCAGUAAAGAAGCUUUCAUUACAUUGGCAUCUUUGGCAGAGUUGGAGGAAGAGGGUGGUUCUUUUGCUUUCCCCCUAGCAAUUGACUUCCUCUUCCUGGAAUUGGCAUCAUUUUGGCCAUUGUUGCCAGUUUCCCCAGUUGUGAUCUGCUCGGAGACUGAAGAAUUCUCCCUGGAAUCACCAAAUUCUGUGUUUUCAGGUGUCGAAGACCUUGACAAUUUACUGAAUUUCCUAUCAGAAGCUGAGAUACCAUCCUGCAAAGAGCCAUCUUUGCUGUCUUGAACAUCCAAUUGAGAUCCAGAAUUAACCUUGAUGGACUGAUUACUUGAAACUCUGGAAAGCUUUCCAGAAUCCAACUUCUGCACCAAUCUGUUUUGCAAUUCAGAAUCAUUCAGUGGUCCAAUUUGGCCAUUUAGGCCACCUAAACUCUUGUUGGCAAAACAAGAGAAUCUUGCAGCCCUCUCAGCAAAUCCGGGAUCCGUUGGAAAUGGUGCAAAACUUGAAUGAGAAGGCAAAUGGUGGCCAGGAAUUGGCAAGUUCCCUCUGAUCUGGUGAUCCAUCAUUGACAGGUUGAGCUUAGGAGGGGAAUUCAGAGGAGUACUAUAGCAAGAAGUAUUAGUACUAUUAUUUCCACCUCCCAGAUAAGACUGAGGUGAAAUUUCACCAGAGUUGCAGAUGCUGCCUAAUCGACCAAUUAGUUCUCUCAGCACAACAUUCUCACCUCCAUUACUACUGCCAGGAACUCCUCCUCCUCCUCCUCCUCCGGCAGCAUUCGACGCAGCUGGAGACGACACCAUUGAGCUCAAUGCAGACUCAAAGGGAUCAUUCUGAUCCAAUGAAUUGUCCCAACUGGGAUUAAAAAAGCAAUUCUGAAACUGCACUUCUGAGCUGCUGCAAUUCAGCUCAUUGUUGUGAAAUCCUCCAAUUCCACUCCCAUAAGGCAUUUGAAAAUUCUCCCUCUCCAUAUCAAGAAUCCCAAACAAAGACAAUCCAGCAGUUUGUUACUUAUUAUUAGUACUUCAGUUAAGGAAGAAUAUAAAGCAUAAACUGUCUGAAUGUGAUGUUUUCUUGGAACGAACAAGGUAACAGAAAGUGAUACUAAAGCUGAAGUUGGAAGGAAAAAGUCGAUAACUUUGUUCUUUAAAUCCACUCAAAUGAGAAAAAGAGUAGUAGUAGAUGGUUAAUAUGUGCUGAUCAGAGCGGAAAAAGCAGGGGAGAGAAAGCAAGAGAGAAAAGGGUGAGAUUAAUGGAGGAAAGUGAAGGGGAAGCGAGAAAGAAAGAUAAAGAAAAGAUUUGUCUGUUUGACCUUUUUUAUUUUAAGAACUAAUUAAAAAAAAAACCAUCCUACAAUUAAUGCAUUUGUGUGUUCUGUACAAAGUAUUCAAAAGAAAAAGAAAAAAAAAUCUCCUCCGAAGACCUCCGUAAUGGGCGGUGGGGGUGGUGUAAUAUUACUGUAAUGCCGGGCCGUAAAUGUCAAACUAGCUGAUGUUGCCUCCGUUAUGGUGAUGAAAGUUCUGUAUUUUCUUGAGUCACAAUGCCUUGAAACCUAAAUAGCGGCCAUGCCAUGAGGGUAAGGGAGCACAUAUUCAUCCUUUUCGGCCCGGCUGUGGUUCUGGUCGGGCUGCAUGCAUCUAGAAUUAAUUCACGUUCUCAAUUCAUGAAACUCUGUUUAUCUACUGAAGUUGCGUGUAUCUAAAACUCCACUUAUCUACUCAGGUUGCAUGUAUCUAGAACUAACUCAUGUUCUCAAUUCAUGAAAUACUGUUCAUCUACGACGAUCAGUAGUAACAAGACAUAAAUUUAAAAUCUCGAGAUAUAAAUUGAUUAUUUAUCCUGCCCACGGUCAAUAGUAGCAGUAGCAAGACUUAAAUUUAAAGUCCCUUUGAUGUAAACUUUUUUCUAUUUUUUGUCUGUGCACAGGCAACAUUAGUAGCAAAAUUUAAAUUCAAGAUUUCUGAUGUAAAUAACUUUGGUUCUUUAUCGUGUUAACGAACAACGGUAGCAGCAGAAAGACUCGAAUUUAAGAUUUCUUGACGUAUACUUAUUUCUUUAUCCUUUCUGUCUGCCUUUGUUAUAUGAGUUUGUUUGUUUUGUCUGGUUAUUAGGGUUUUUCCUUUCUUCAUUUUUUUUUAAUGAGAGGAAAGUGACAGGAAAGAUCAUUUGAGCCUCUUUUUAUUUUUUAUUUUUUUGGUUGUUUUUUCUUCUGUUUUGGAGGUGGUUUUGUAAAUCAUUACUUGCUUUGCUUUAUACUAACACACUGCUAUGUUACACUGCCACAGUUCUCAGUAAGAUUGGUGUAAUCAAUGAUUAGUGCACAGUUAAUUAGGAUGAUUAGUGUAAAGAAGUGUUUGAUUAAUGGUUUAAAAAUAGGGUUUUGUUGUUUGUUCUUGUGUUUGUAUCUGUGAGAGAAACACAUAUAGUGUGAGAGUGAGUUGUGUCUGUGUGUGUCCCCACCAGCUUUUGGAAGUAUAGAUGCAGUGUGGAGAAAGUGAAAGUGCAUAUUUAAAUAAACUCUCUUUUUUUUUUUUUGCCCAUUUUAACUUAUUGUUUGUUUCAUACUUUGUGGCCUUCUUUUUUUUUUUUUUUUUUCUUCUUAGACUAUUAAAAGAACUCCAAAAAAAAAAAAAAAUGAUCUGAGAUGGCCAUAUUAUAUAAUGGGGUAAUGAGAAAAAAAGGAAUCUAGAGGGUUUCAAAGGCCCCACAAUUACUAAAAAAUAGAUAAUGGCAGAAAUGUGAUUCUUCUAAACAAGUUGUAGGAUACAGCUAUUGUUAGGAAUGUGCAGUUGAUAAUAUUAAAGAGUUCAGAAAUGUAAUUGUCAUUCUUACGUUCCUGCUCAUGUCAGAUGCAUUUGGCAUUUUGUUGAUAUCACUUCCAUUCUUUUACUGCCCCUUUUUAAGUAGUAGUAGUAGUAGAAAAUGCAGACAAACAACAGAAGGUUAUUUAAUGAGCAAAACUACCCAAUGAUCAAUUAGGGGUAUGUUUAGUAUCUAAUAAUAAUUACCCAAAGAUUAAGAUAGAAAUUUGAUUUUUUUCCCCCCCCGAAAGGAUUAAAAUCUAGAUUGGACCAAUCAGACCAGUUCGGUUUAAAAAAAAGGGGGGGGGGGACUAACUCUACUUUGCAUCCGAAAUUUCAAUUUUAGACAUUUUGUACCAUAAAUUCUUAAAUUUAUCGGAUCUAAGUCUAAUUAAUGACAACGUUAGCAAAUUAACGGUAUAGAAGACCCUACGAAUCAAUAAUAAUUUGUUGAAAGUGGUCAAAGGAGCCAAUGCAUAGCAGAUAGAACAAAAUGAUAUUUUGCAAUUAAUUUAUACGGUCUUUUAUUUCAUUGAUUUUACUAAUAAUAUUAGUAAUUGGGAUGAUAUAAAUGAAUGAUAACAUGCUGAAAGUGAUCAAAAGGAACAUGAGAUCGCAAUUAGAACAAAAUGAUAUAUUGUCAAUAUUUUACAGCGUGCUUUGUCUCGUUAAUAUUGCUAGCAUUGUCUUCGAUUAAAUUUGAAUAGGUCCGAUUAAAUUUGAAUAGGACAAACUUGAAAUUUAGGUGUAAAAUGUCUAAAAUUAAGAAUUUAGCAUGCAAAAUAUCUAAAUCAAAAUUCAAAAUAUAAGUAAAAAAAAAAAAGAUACAAGUUCAGAGGUGGAAAAUGAAAUUAGUCUGAAAAAGAAAUCACCAGACCGGUUUGACCCACCAAUAUGAGUGAAAAGAAAAGAACACUAGGAUAGUCAAGCAACACGAAACGAAAGACCAGAAGAGAAGCACUAAAAAUAGCUGGUGACAGUAGUAGAAGUAAUGAAUAUAAAAGCACAACUCUUACAUGUCUGCAUGUAAAUAAGACUUUUUACAAAAAUUCCACAAUGAGAUUUUAGUUGAAAAAUUUGCAAUCUAUUUACACCUGCACUCAACUGCAAAGGCCCCUCAUCCAGGAAACAUCAACGCUUCUUCAAGAAAUUCUGAGUAAUAACAUUUGUGUCGGGUCGGCAAGUCAGUCGGCAAGCUCAAGAAAUUGAAGCCAAAACGUUGAUUUAUGAUUUGAUUCUUACGCGGAUUGAUCAGAUGCAGCUGUUCUACAUCAUAUAAUGAAUGAAUCAGGGAAUGCUAUUCUCGACUUUGAAAAAGGAUUGAAGCCACUUUUAACGAUUUCUGGGCAUUUUGGAAGAAAUCUUUAAUCUUUCUGCAACAGUUUUGAUGGUUGGAAAAGCACAAAAAAUAUUAUACUUGUAAAAUUGAUUUGCAUUCUAGUAGUAGUUAUCACUUUUGGUUCAGGACAACUAGAAUUUAAAAUUAGUGUCAUUCUUUCUGUUAUUGUAAAGAUAAAGUGCACUUGGUUUUCUUGAUUUUGAGUUAGUGCCAUUUUAGUUCUUUUGACGGUUGUGAUUUUACCAUAAUUUAAAGUAAAAAAAAAUGUACGCAUCGCUCCCAUUUUAGCCAAUUUGACCCACAACGGAUCUUCUGUUCUACUCUCUGUUCCACUUUUUAUUCUAUUGUAAUUUUUUCUUUAUGAACAUCAUAUUUUAGUUCUUUUUUAUUUCCUUAAAAUCGAAUAACUAUUAACUGAAUAAUACACAAAAUUUAACCAAGUAAUAGUAAGAAUUUGUCACACAAGUGCCAAAUAGCUGCCUUUUUAUUGUGCACAAUUUACUAUUUCACACUCGAAUUUUAUUGUUUAUUUAAAUUUAAAUAUUUUCUCAAAUAAUUGUAUUUUUUUUCUUUUACUCAAUAUAACUUUAUCUUUUCAACAUACUAACACUUGGUGCCCUUGAGGUCGGUGCCUAUUCGGCUGGACAAAUCCAAUUUCAAUACGUGGUGGAUACCAAUUGAUGAAGUGGAAAGCUUUGAAAGGAAAAAGCAUCAACAAUUAACAACCUUUCCUUUUUCCUCUCUCUAUUUCAUUCAAAAGUUAAAAGUAUAACGCUUUCAGAAUAAAGCUUCCAUGUAAGUUGAAAAUGAUAAAUGUGGCCACUUAAUUUGGAGUAAUCUAAAGUCAUUAAACCUUAAUAAUAUCUACAUUAUUACAAUAGGAACCAAAUCAAUAGAGAGAUUCAAAGAAGUAUUGCAUGGAGAAUGAGAAUCUACCAGAAUUAAUGGCUCACAAUCGACCAUAGCUUGUAAAUGCUUUAGUUUCAAGAAUUUGUCCAAAAGAUUGUUAACUUAAUUUUUCAAUAUAAGGGAAAAAUGGAAGAAAGAAAAUUGAAGUAACAAAUUUAUGAGCCUUAAAUUCAAAUUUAUAAUUAAGUGUUCAUAUCACUCAGAGAAUUUAAUUUAAUUUAAUUUGUUGUAUAUAUUUGUGAGAGAAUAUUAGUUACUACAUAAUGUAAAAAACACAAAAAAAAAAAAAUUUACUUCAAAAAAAAGUACUUCAUAAUGCAAAACAAUCAAUUACCUCACAAGGAAUUGCAUAUCGUAGAUGAUAAUAUCUUUUAAUCCAAGUAAGACUCUUAAUGAAGUUUUAGAUGUCUGACCUUAUGAAUUCUUAGCUAACUUGGUCAAUUAUUCUGUUUUACUUAAUUAAUCUCCGAUCCAAAGGGAAAAAAAUAAUUAAAGAAAGACCAGGAAUUUGCUUUUAUUUUUCAUUCUAAGAUGUGUACUUCUUCAACAUGACAGUCAAUUCCAGCAAAUACAACUAAUUUAGGUCCGAUAUAUAUAUUAAUAUCACAUGCAUCAGUCGUUUAUUUAUUAACAAAGUUUUGCAAACCAAAAUUGACCCUACAGAAUCAGGAAUAAAUCUCCGUACAAUAAUUACAUUUCAAUUUUGCCUUAAUAUCUUAUGAUUUUCUUCUAAAUAUAUAUAUAAAAAAACUUUAUACUCAAGCUAGAAAAACAAUUUAAGAACUUGGGUAAUAAUUUUAGAAAAGUUAUUGAGUUUGAACAUUCACCUAGGUUAAAUCUAAGAAAUUAGUUGUGGCAAGUUUCUUUGUUAGGUUGAUUAAGAAAAUACAAGAGACCGAGACAGCCAAAGACAAUUGUUCAAUGGAAAUUUAAAUCUGAAAAUAGCAAUAUUUCUCUGCAUUGAGCCAUCAUGGCACUGGAUAAAAAAUUAAAAAAAGAAAUAAAUUUUCUAUAAAAUUUCAAAAUUACCAUUCACUCCUCGAUUAAGCCCUGCUAAGUUCAUUGGUCCAGACAAUUUUUUCAUUUACCAACAGAAAAUUUGGAGCUAUUUUCUAGAAAAAAUAACAUUUUUUUUGGCAGAAAGAGUGACCCCAUAUAAAAUAUAAGAGCCCGAUACCACAUUGGAAAUUGGACAUAAUAAGACAUUGUAUACAGUUUUUUAAAAUGGGAGGUUUUGAAUUUAAGAUCAUAAUUCCUCCCAUCUUACUAUUCAAUCUAACUCUCGUCAGACAUUAUAUGCGCUUAUGACUUCUUUAUCUGAAAAUCCAAAAUCCAUGCCUCUAAUUACUAUUUACAAUAGCAACCCUACUAAAUUUCCCUUCUACUUUAGAUGGAUGAUUUCUUUUGUUACAUCUUUAUAUGCUUAGAUGUAAAUUACCUUUGUCUACUAGCAUAAACUCAUAAGAAUUCAGAGUUCAAAAUCGGGUAAAGCACCAACACUCCUUGUUAAACUCAGAAAGCUAAUUAAUACUUCUGAAAUUUUACCCAAGUUUUUUCUACUUUUGGCAAAUCUAUACAUAGAGAAGGAAAGCAAAAUAGACCACCCAAAAAAAAAAGGCAAAAAAAAAAAAGAACUACAAAAUUAAGAUGGAAGAAUUUGGAGCUAUUUGCAAUAGGAACAAAACAUUCAGUCCCAGAAAUAAUUUAUGCCAAAGAAAUCCAUGCAUGCAUGUAGGUAUACAUAGAUGAGUCCAAAUUCCCCAAAUAUAAUAAAGGCACGAUCUAACAAACCUCCUAAAUAUCACUCUACUGCCACCUCUUUCCUUCCCUUUCCUCUGUUGACUAGCUAGCCAGCCACACUCUUCCACCGCCCUCUAUCUACUGGUCCAUUGCCCCCUCCCUCAAUGCAUAGAAUAUGCAAAUUUGAAUAAGCAUCAUCGGUGGCUUGUAUAGUGUGUGUACUGUGUGUGUGUGUAUAAAACCCAAAUGUAAUGUAAUAAUGAAGAAGUACACAGAAAGAACUGGCAAAUGGUUUUCAUGCAUCCCUGAUUUAAUUAAUUUAUUCACUUCAACUUCAAGCUUCAAAGAUGCUUCUGUCUAUGUCGGCAGCAGAGGCCAUUUAUAUCUUUCCCACGGUAGAGAAGGAAUGAACAAGUUUUAAAGGGUUUUUCAUUUCUUCGAAGAUAUAUAUUGAAAGUUAUGAGGAAUUCUUUUUGGCCUAGAUGUAUAUUUGCUUAUGAAGUAAGUGAGUUUAUUCAUUUAUUUUUGGUAAAUAAGUAUAUUUUUCUUGCAUGGGUAUUGAUGCCUUGGUUGAGUAAAUAUCAAAUUAUAAAGCAAUCUAUUGAUAUUAGGUCAAAGAGAAACUUAAUUUGAAGGGAAAAGCAAAAGAAAAAAAAAAGAAAGGAAGAGAAAACAUGAAAGGAAAACUUCAAUUUAGCUCUCAAAAUUUUCAUUCUUCAAAAUUGAUUGGAAUUACCAAAAAGAAUAGGUAUUCCUCUGGUUGCUAAUAUAUAUAUGGAUUUGACUCUUUUCAUUUUUUUUUCUUUUUCGGAGACGACAACAGUUGUAUAACCUAAUAUAUUCUAAACUAAGGGGGAGAAUGCAGAGCUAAGGAGGCCCAGGAAUAACCCGGAUAGGACUGAACCACCACCGGACCAAACGGAUGUACAACACACCCACCUAAAUUUUUUGAAGCAAACCACUUUAAUGUGACAUUUUGGUGGGAGACAAGAGGCAAGCCACCCCACCAAGUUAGGUGGUGGCCACCAACCCAAAGGCUGGUGGUUUGGAUUUGACUCUUUUCAUGUUGUUCGCAAUUAUCAUCUUAGAUGAAUUACAAUGCCGAAAAUAAGAGAAAAGCAAUAUAUACCUAAUUUGACAAAUGAAAAAGCAAUAUAUUUUGAGUUUUUUUUUCCAAAAAAGAAAACUUGUUUGUUACCAAACCCUACCUAAUUCAAGUCCUCAAUAAAUACCACAUAUCUACAGAGCUAACGUGACCAUCAAUCAUUGAAACACACCAACAUAUGCAACUUCCUAUAUUUGACCAAAUAAAUAAAAUCCAUAUGGACAAGUGUAGCCUUCUCACUGGUCAAAAUGCACAAAAACCGAGGUAAAUGCAUAAUUAUUUAACAAUAUUGGAGAGUUGGUAACUGACACUUAAAGUUCUUUUAACAUUUUUCCAUUAGAUUAUACAGUACUAAAAUUAAAAUCUGCAAAAAAAAAAAAAAGGGUGGAAGUCUCUUCCAAUCAAAGCCUUGAAGGAAUCAAAGACAGCAGGAGCUUAAUGAUUAAGGUUAAUUAAUUAACCACUUUUUUUAAUGUAAUAUAAUUUAACUUAAGCGACAAAUGUGUCAGGCUUAAAUGAAUUUUUAUUUAAAAAUCCAUAAUUAAAAUUUGAUAGAUGAAUGUAUUUGAUGAAGAACUUGAAAUGCAUUAAUUUCUUACUGUCUGAAAAUGAAAAUGGAUGGAGGGAAUCUGAGGUUUCUUGGAAGGAAUAUUUCAAUUUGAGAUGUCUUUCAAAAAUGCCAAAGUGGAAAAGGCCUCAACCACAAGCUAUAGAAAAGCUAUAUAAGUUUUCUUUAUCAACUUAGAUAAUUACUGGCAAAGUGAACUUGUAGGUUUUCUACUAUCUAACCAAUUGUGUGGAAAGAUACUCCACAAGUCCAAUUUAUGUAUCCGAAUUUCGAGAUUUGUAAAUUAUUCAGGAGAAAAAAAAAUUAAGCUCUAAUCAAAUCCAUGAGAUUUGUAAAUGUUCAGACAACUUUACAAAAAAUUGAUUUUUUUUUUUUUAAAAUUUGAAAACUUUUUUGGUGGAUGAUUUAUCUUGCUGCACGAUUUAAUGUGAAAUGGUAAUCUCAUCAGAAUUGGAAGUUCUCGUAAUUGCUAAAUUAUGUUGCGAUUUGAUGAAAUGCUUUUGUAAUUAUUUCUUUAUGAUAAAAGAGUUUGUAAUUAAUUUCUUCAACUCAAUAUACAUAGUUAUGUUAAUAAAAGCAAAAAGGUAUGCAAAUAUUUGAUGUUCUAAAAUAAAAAUAAAAAACACUCAGUGUACAUAGUUUUCUACAUAUCUGACAUUCUAAAAUUAAAAAACUAAUUAAAGACUAAAGCCUUGCUUGGAUUGUCAUUUUUUUCUAAAAAAUCUUUACGUUUUUUCAUGAACACAUUUCGUUAUUAUUUUUUUAUCUUACACAUAUCAAACGGUUAUAGUACAUUUUUUACAAAAUAUUCAGAAAAUAAUAAUCCAAAUGGGAUCUAAAUCCUCUAAUGUAAAUAUUAGAAUCCAUUUCAUGUGAAAAAUUACAAGCCUUGAACCCAAAAAAAAAAAAAAAAAGACAACACAAAAACUUGGGACUCGAUUUAUAAUUCGAAAUUGUAAGUCCACAUAUUAAAAAAUCAAUUGUGGGCCAGUCUUGAUCUUGAACUGCUAGGGACAAACCUUACCCGAACCCAAUUACCGAUUACCCCCAGCUAUAUUAGGCUAUUACACAAAACCAAGCUACGAGUAGGCCCAUAUGGGCAAGCUACGUCUAUUUCUUCUUCUACAAAAGCCUUGCCAUGCAUUUGGAGCAAUUUCUUCUUCGGUUGAUUGAGACUCUAAUACACCAUGAUUAGCAAAUAAUGAACUUUCUUAUGAGGGAACAAAAAAUUAAUAAUAAUUGAGCGUAGGACAUGGCACGACUAGACAAUAACUACACCCCCUCUUUCUUCAUUAGCAAAAAGAAUACUACUUUUUCUUUGGAUAGCAGAGAAAUAUAUUCGUAACUCGAUCAUUUUCCUACGAGUACACCAAUUACUUCAUAAAACUCUGUAAUCCUAGUUGAUUUAACUUACGUUGCACAAGCUGCCUUGAAAAUUUGCUCUUGGUAGGGAUAAAAAUAAACUAGUGGACUUUAUGUUGUUACAACACUAAAAUUUUUAAAAAAAAAAAAAAAUUAUUACAACUUAAGCAACACAUGAUAUUGCACUUUACACUUUUACCACUCACCUCUAUCUAUCCAAAAACCGACUAAAAAAAAAAUCAUCCCAUUGUUUAAUCUCAAUAAUGUAGCACCUUGAAAUUUGAGCUAAGUUAUUUCUUCUUGUGGUCAAUGCAAUUUUCUAUUGUUUGUUUUGAGAGAAGUAAAGUGGAGACAUGGAUUGUGUAGCACUACAAAGGUAAAGGAUAAAAUAAGGGUUGAAAAGAAGCCUAUGAAUGGGAAGGAGUGUGGGGGGGGGGGGGGGGGAAUAUUCUUGGGCUCUAGACAAGUAGUUGACGAUACUUUCUGACAAUUAGGAAUUAACCGGCAAACUUCCCUGCCUUUACGGGUAGUAACAAUUUUUAAUUACCAAUACACCUCAAAAGUCACCCUAAAUUAUUAUUAUUCCCAAUGUGUGAAAUCCCACUACUAAGUUUUCCAUUUCUUUGACUUUAGUAAUUGUUAAUUGGUCUAUUUAGGCACCUACAUACUUGUAGAAUUUGUGUCAUUUAUCCUUCUUCUCCUAUCUAUCUUUUUCUUUUUUCCCUUGGCGGUUUUUUUUUUUUUUUUUUUUACAAAAAGUAUAUUAUCAAUCUCUUUCGUUCUAGUAAUUCUUAUCUGUCUUUUGGUGACUUAUAAUCCAAAAUUCCGCUGAAAAUGAGGUGGAUAAAGUUAAGUACUUGUAGUAUAACAAAUUAAUAAGAGAAAAAGAGAGACAAUCAAUAUAGGUGUAAUAAAUUUAAUAUAAGUGGCCACAGCUUAUUUAAAAAUUAUCCCACCUCAAUGAGUAUUUAUGAUGUCAUGUUUUCGGUUAAAGAAAUUAAAAUCAAUCUUAGAAGUAGUUAUUAAGAAAAUUAUGGGCCCUUCUCGCUUUAGUUGUGGUGCAUAAAUAAAAACAUCUUACAGGAUAUUGAAGUAGGCUGAUCCAUGAAAAAACAAAACACUUUUGGACUCAAUUUGUUUCUUCAAUCAUCCAAAGCACGUCAAUGGCCGAAACUUCCACUGCUUCACCAUUUCGUUCUCCCAAGCUCUCCGUAUAGAUUUGGCCCAAACGUUCCUUUUGGAUUCUGAAAGGAUGCUUUAACCUGACCUUGGCCCAUGUCCUCUCUCUCUCUCUCUCUCUCUCUCUAAAUAUAUAUCUGCCUAUUAUAUAAGAAAGAAGUGAACUUUAGUACUUUGUCUCCUUACUUGUCACGUGGCUUCUUAAUAACUUGAUAAGUGACUUGCUAAUAUUUCUUGCACAUUGCUAUUCUUGCUAUUGCACAUUUUUUUUUGGCCUUUCGUUCAUGCAAAAUCAAACAAGUCUGGCCUUAUAUUUAUGGGUGUUCAUCGAUCUAUAAUUAAAAAUUCGAUAAAAAAGUUUUGAUAAUUUUGGAAUUGAUUUUUUAAGUCCAAUAUCCGAUUACAGUCCAAAUCUUAGUUUGAUAAAUUGGAUUGGAAAAUCAGUAGUGAGUUAAAAUAUUUUAAUUUGCUCUAAAAAAAUUCUUAUGACAAAAUAAUAUCCUAUAUGUUUUUCAACAAAAUUAAUCGACUUACUCAAACAAAUAUGAAAUGCAAAAAAAAAGGUUCAUAACCCUAAGUUCUAACUCAUAAUCUCAAUUCUUAAACAAUAUUGAAAUAAAUAAGAAUUUCAAACUUAAUUGUUAAGCUAAACUCCAAUGUAUCAACUUCCAUUAAAAUUUUAUCUCCAAAUAUAGUUAUAGUUAGUUUAGCUAAUUACUAAUUAAUAUUUAGUGAUAGGAUUAAGAUUUAUUCUUGUAUUUAGUAAUAUACAUAAGUGGGCUUAUAUUCUACUUUUGUCUUCUAUUGAUUUUAUGCGAAAGAAUAAUUUCCACUUAAUUGUUCUUGAAAUUUUAAGUGGGCAUGGGCUGUGCUAACUGCUAAGCACAGCCUGAAGUCUGCUAGUGUAUAUACAUAUAUAGACACAUAUGUAUAUAUAAAGCUUAAUUGUUUCUAAUGGAGGUUACUUUUGCUGGGGAAAAGCAAGGGUCUGGUUAGACCAAUCAAGCUGAGGGGACCUUGAGCCUAAGGGAAUAGAUUGUAGGUGGGUACAAAUAGGCAAAUGUGAUGUGACAACCAUCAAAUAGUAUUAAUUUUUUCUUUUUCUUUUUUUUUAUAUGAAAAAUUUUGAGCGGAUUCGAUUUCAAUUACCACCAUGAGUUAAAAAAUGUUUUCAAAACUAUAAAUCGCUUAUAAGGUUCAAGAUUUUCAACAAUUUAGUGAACUCAAAUUUUAUGACUUGACGGUGCAAGUAAAAAGUAGUUAUAAAUCUGAUCUAAAUAUGAGCUUAAAUGUAGCAUUUUUCAUUUUAAAGACACAAAGUUAUGGUUUAAAUCAGCAAAACAAUUCAAUAUUUUAAUUACCUUAAAGAUGUUGAAAUCCGCAUUAUACAUUUAAUUUUCCUUAUAAAUUUUACAUAAACUGGUAAAUAAAAUUAAAAGAUUAUGGGAAUUGAUCAGCCUAAUUUAUUGGUGAGAUGAAGGAGUUGUUAUCUCCUAAAUAAUAGUAUGGACAGUGCCCAAAAAAAAAAAAGAUUGAAUACUCAAGUCGAUGAAAAUUUUGGUCUCUAAAUUUUGGAAAAACUGAGGCAUUCAUUUUUGAAACUUCAAGGUCUAACGUUCGUUUUCAUUUUUGAUUUCUUAAAUCUCUGUUAUAGGUUAAGCACCGGUUGACAUACUAAUGAUGCGACAAUUAUCUUGCUAUUCAAUAUUCAGUUUUAUAUUUAUCAAUUUAAUUUUAUAUUUUGAUAACAAGACAGAAGUUUAUCAAAAAUUGCUCGAAAUAGUCCAGCACAAAUUGUUUAGCAAGCUCAAGGAGGGAGUUUGAAACAGAUUCAAAUCAGUAAUUUAUUUUGGCAUCUUAUGCCAUCCAUGUGCAGUACAGAUUCUAAUCCAAAAUAUAAAUCUGUAAAAUGUUGGCUCCAUGUCAAACCGAUGAAAAUCCCCAUUCCAUCAAGAAAUGUAAUGUAGGCUUAAAUCUUUAUUAGAUACCACUGCCCUGAUAUGAAAAUCAGAAGGAUGAUAUGAACUGCACUAACUUGUUCAAAGAAUUGUAAGAAGAACCACCAUCCUUGAUGCAAUCCUUGAUCUGGUCCUUGAGAGCAAUCACUUUCUGCCUCAUUCUUGAGCCUUCUUCUUCAACUAGGAGUCUUCUUAUAGCUUUUGCAACAUUU
This 76626-nucleotide long non-coding RNA is filed under the name Coffea arabica (coffee). RNAcentral describes it as "long non-coding RNA (CARA_LNC002170)". Lineage: Eukaryota; Viridiplantae; Streptophyta; Magnoliopsida; Gentianales; Rubiaceae. The record is from RNAcentral.